GCUUGCUUUGUCAUUCAUGGAAUAUGGAAUUCUUUAACCAAAGAAAUAGUACUUCUUAGUACACACGAUAUUAUCUAUAGUACACACGAUAGUAUACACCAUCAUUUGUAAUGUGAAAAGAUUUUGGUAAAACUUGAUUUUCCAAAUUUAUCUUGACCGCCUGAUAAUAUUAUUCUUGUUCUAUCAUUGUCAAUUACUUAGUCUUGUUUGUGUUGGGAAAAAGAGUAAUAAGAACAAGAUCUUAAAUAGUAAAAAGCUGUUUUUAUUCAUGUUUGUUUUUCUUUAUAAUUUCUUUUCUUCUGAUCAAAGCAAACAAUAAAUACCUUUCUUUUGAUGAAAGGCAAAGAUCUGUGUGGUGUUCACAAUAUUUCUAUAUAAUAUUUCAUCCGGAGAAAGCAAAGAACUCACCGGCAAACCAAAUAAAAAAAACGAAAAUGGAUCCAACUUUGUACAAUGCUGUGGUGGAAGGCAAUAUCAGUAAUGGUGAUUUUUCACUUGCUGAAUAUCUGAAAAGGGAUGAAGACAAUCCGUACCAAGUCACUCCAUCAGGCAACACAAUCUUACAUGUGGCCGCUCAUUAUGGCCACUCCCAUUUCGUGGCAGAAGUCCUUAAGAUUAGUCCGGCAUUGUUAUGCCACCGGAACAAGAAGAAUGAAACAGCGCUUCACGUAGCAGCUAAUGAAGGUCACAUCGAAGUAGUCCACGCGCUAUUUAGUAUGGAGGAGCAUCAUAAGGAGACGCUCAUGAGGAUAACAGAUGAGAAUGGAGAUACAGCGCUGCACAAGGCCGUGCGGAGCCGACAUCAAAAUGUAGCCAGACUGUUGGUGAAAGAAGAUCCUGCAUUCGAAUUUCCAUCCAACAAGGCUCGGGAGACACCGCUGUAUCUGGCAGCUGAGUCUGGUCUUCGUGAAGCUUUGAGUGAAAUCUUGAACUCAUGCAAGCAACCAACUUCUUCUGCAGGUCCAUUAAAUCGAACAACUCUGCAUGCAGCAGUAAUUAAGGAACACACGGGUAUGUACAUAUUUUUUUGACACUACUCUCAGUAUGUUAACAUCUCUUUUCGAUUCUUGUUACUAUCUAUUGUAUCUUGUACUUCGACUAUCGUAUUAUUUUGUUCCAGUACUGUUCUGUUUUGGACUGUUUUUCUUGAGCUGAAAGUCUAUCGGAAACAGCCUCUGAGGUAGUGGUAAGGUCUGCGUACACUCUACCCUUCCCCAGACCCACUUAGAGACUACACUGGGGAGUCUAAAUUUGCAUUGAUUUAACUCCUUAUCAUCAUCAUCUUUGAUGCAUGCAUCCAGAUUGCGCAAGAUUGCUAAUGCAAUGGAAUAAAUCUCUAUGUGAGGAACCUGACGUGGGGGGUUGGAAUUCGCUGCACUUUGCUGCUCUUUUAGGAUUGAAAGAAGUAGUUUCCGAUAUGCUGGUGUGGAAAAGAUCCUUAGCCUACCUUCCAGCAGGCAGUGACAAUGACUGGACAACAGCAAUUCACAUUGCAGCUGGUGGAGGUAAGGUAGACGUUUUACAUGCGCUAUUAAAUCACUUCCCUGAUUGCUGGGAAAUGCUCGACAGAAACGCACAAAAUGUGGUCAAUUAUUUACUGAAGUCCACAAAGUGGGAUAAGCUUAUCGAGGAUCCAGAUAACGAUGGCAACACUCCUCUCUAUUUGCUUGCUUCCUCUAAUUUUUGGGGCUGUGUGCCUCUGGAAUUAAAAGAUCAUCCCCGAGCAAAGAAGAGGUCAUAUAACAAGGAAAACAAGACUCCUUUUGACGUAGCAGUGUCUUGCACAGAGUGGAUGGCAGACAAGGAUAGAAUCGCUUGUUUAACGAUUUCUUAAAUUCCAUUGUUCAAUUGGGACAGCGUUCACCCAAGCUGAACCAGAUGGAUCGGCAGAAGAUAAUUUUCAACCAAGCUAAGGAACGUGACACAAACAUCAAAGGUAUCUUAUCAGCAGCUCAAAUGCAACUUGUUGUGGCUACUUUAUUAGUCACAGUCACCUUUGCAGCUGGUUUUACAUUACCGGGAGGUUUUGAAACCGAUGACGAUAGCCCUAAUAAGGGGAUGGCAGUUCUAAUAAAAAGAACAGCAUUCUGUCCAUUUGUUAUAACGGAUGCCAUCGCCUUUGCAUGCUCCGCUGGUGCUAUAUUCAGCUACUUCUAUAUGGUGACAAAUCCUCGUCCAAUGUCUUAUCAGGAUUUGGAUUAUUUGUGGUCUCUCAGUAAAGUUGGAGCUAGGUCGCAGCUCGUGGCAAUGUCAGCAGUUGUAAUUGCAUUUGUAACUGGUUUGUAUGUUACUUUAGCACAUUCAAUUGGUCUCGCAGUUACUGUCUGUGCCAUCGGUUGCAUCUCUUUCAUUAUGUACGUGUGGGCAGUGCUGAGGCCAGUAUGGUGGAUACGUGUAGCAAAAAAGUAAUGCAUACGUACAAAAAGUAUUUUUGACAUGUAUACUUUGUGUAAUUUUCUAUAUACAUAAUUGAAUUCCCAUGAAAUUACAAACACGAGUCAGAACCUUGAAGUGGGUGGACCGGUGAAGGAUCCAAAGGACAUGUUGUGAACACGGAUAUUCCAGAGGCUAGCCAGGCUGUUGUGCCCGAGGCUAAACCACGAAGAGGCCCAAGAAUUAGACAGACCAAUGAUAGAUUUGCUUGCGAUUCAAAAAAUAUAGUAACCAAACUAUUCACAAGAUGGUAUUGUACAUUUUUAUGGACGGAAAGACAUUUAAGCUACGAAUCGAUCAAAUUUGGUAGCAAUGUGAAAGGAAUAGUCUUGAAUCUCGAAAAUGAGAAUGAUUUUGCUCCUCUUCAACUUGUGAUCCCAUAUUAGUUGUGCCAUGAGGGAAUAUUGCCACGAUAAUCGAAUGCACACAUUAAUAAUUUAUGAUAAUCUAUCUCCACUAUGUUCUUAGUAAACAGACAGCAUGUCGUCAAAUGUCAUCACUAUUACGCUAACCACCAGGUCGUGAGGCAUUCACAAGAGAUGUUUUUUAUUAACAUUCUCGACUCUUGAAAAGAGCGACCUGAUACUCUGUGCUGUGUUCUUAGUAAACAGACAGCAUAUCGUCAAAUUUCUUUCACAAGGGAUGUCUUUUAUUUACAUUCUCAACUCUUAAAAAGAGUGACCUGAUAAUCUAUCUCCGCUGUGUUCUUAGUAAGCAAGCAGCAUAGUGUCAAAUGUCAUUGCUAUACGCUGACCACCAGGUCGUGAGUCUUUCACAAGGGAUGUUUUCUAUUUACAUUCUCGACUCUUAGAAAGAGCGACCAAACAAUCAAAAACUUGACAGGUGCAAGUAGCUUAACCGCCUUAUCCAUCAUUGAAACUAUAUCCAUGUCACACUGAAAACGCGUAUGUCAAAAACCCAUGCAACAGUGUCAUACCCAGGGUUUCAAUCUAGUGGUAAGAGCGGACUUGUGAAUUAGGCGUACGUGACACGUUUGAGCCCUGCAAGAGACAAAAUCAUUAUACUUAAGUGGAAAAGUAUUUUGCCAUGGCUUCUAACAUUUCCUUUUUGAACUGCGUUGAAUUGUUUUUCCUUUCGCUGGCCGCUGAAGGUCUACCAAAAUUCAGAAACCUCUCUGCCUCCCAAUGUAGGGGUAAGAUCUACAUGUACUCUAUCCUCCCCAAACUCCACUUGCGGAAUUUCAAUAGCUAUAUUGUUGUUGUUCUAUGAAUUAUUUAGUGAAGGCACAUUGGGUCUAUAGCAUUGUCGGUGACAGAAGAAAAUGAUCUCCUGUGACCACUUAUAAUUUGAACAGAAGAAAAUGAUCUUACGUAGAUUGUUAUAUCAUGUGAUAAAGGAUGUAUAACUGAAAUAACAUGGAAUGGACUAAAAAACCAUAUCUGUCAUAUGUAGUUGAAUUAUAUAUUUGCAAGCAAUAAGUACAAGUAGUAGCUAGCAUUCAUGUCUCUCUUACAUUUUCCUUGCUAGAUAAAUAACAACCAAGAGGUACAAUAAAAUAGAGAGGCAACCUAUGAAACAGACAGUAAUGGCAAGACCAAGUGAAUGUGAUAAAGUAGCAAACAUACCAGUUGCGAAUGCAAUUACAACUGCAAACAAUGACAAGCACUGAAAAAAAUAUGCGAUAUCAAAAAGUUUACCUAAAAUUUCCUUACUUUGAGGUUCUAUACUUAGAUCUGCCAUGAGGAAGUAGAUGAAUAUGGCAACAGCUGAGCAUGUGAAGGAAAUGGCAUCGGAAACAACAAAUGCACGAAAUGCUGUUUUCCUUGUUAGAAUUGCCAUCCCUUGAUUAUGGCUAUCGGGGUCGCUCUCAAAACCUCCUGGCAAGGUGAUGCCAGCGGCGAAAGUGACUGUCAUUAUCAAAGUAGCCACAACAAUAUGGAUUUGAGCUAUCUUCAUAAUACUUUCGAUUACUGUUUGAUCUGCCUUUUUAGCUUUAUCAUGAUCAUCUUCCCUCAGUUGCAUUUUGACUCCUGUUCCCAUUUCAUCAUUUGGAAUGGGCAUGUACUCGUACUUCCGCUUUACCUCAAAGUCACGUUUUCCAAAUUGGCCAGUGCUACCCAAAUCCUCCACCAAUUUCUCCUAUUUUCAUCAAUUGUACAGUUCAUAUUGAGUCAUUCUUAUUCUACUCUUGCAAGGACAAAAUAACUUCAGUAGUUACCUGAAAAUUCUAUCAAAUAGUAUCAAACAUGAUAUUUCAGAUACUUAGCAUAUAGUACGGAGGCAUUUCAAUAUUUCGCCAUCAUAUACUCAAGCGCAACAGGUAUUUGAAAAACAAAUGUGCGCCCGCUUACCUUCUUUGUUGUCGCUUUGCAUGACAAUGCUAUAUCAAGUGGAGUCUGGUUUUCUUUGUUAAAUGACAUCUUCUUUGCUCUAGGAUGGUUUAUUAAUUCAGGCACAUGGUUACCAGAGGCAGCAAGCAAAUGGAGAGGAGUGUUGCCGUCGCUAUCUGGUUCAUCAACAAGGCUGUCGCACUUAUCAGAGUCUAAUAAGAAGCGGACUACCUCGUCUUGAUUGUUCAAUACGGAAACAUGAAGAGCAUUUUGACUGUUGCUGUUAAGCAUAUCGUGACAAUCAGGGCAGUGAUUUAAAAGCUUCUUUAUCAUGUUUACGUCACCUUCACUGGCUGCAAUGAGAAUUGCUGUCGUCCAGUCAUUUUCACUGCCUGCCGGAAGGUACACUAAGGAUUUUUUCCACGCCAGCAUAUCAGAAACUACGUCUUCCAUUCCUAAUUUAACAGCAUAGUGCAGUGAAUUCCAACCCCAUAAGUCAGGUUCCUCGCAUAAAGGCUUAUUCCAUCUCCAGAGUGAUCUAAUGCAAUCUGGAUGCGUCAACAGUCAACACGAUAAAUGUGCAAAUAAGGGGUUAAAUCAUCUCGCAAAUAUAGUUGCACAACAGACAUUACGAAACCAUCAACAGAAAUUGCAGAUAAAUGUUUUUUAGAGCGGUCGCAUAACAAGUGAUCUGAAUUCUACAUAAAUUGAUGAGGCUAAUGGAGGAUCCUAGAGAGACUAUCGACAUGAUUAAUCCAAAUUUAUGUAGGCGAAGUUAAUUAUGGGAAAGUCAACUGAAGUUAGAUAUCGAUACAGUAAAUAACAAAAAUUAUGCACCUUUAUGUUCCUGAAUUACUGCUGCAUGCAGCGGCGUUCUAUUAGAUGGACCUGCAGCGUAAGUUGGUUUUUUGCAUGAUUCCAAGAUAUUAAUCAAAGCAUCAUGAAAACCAGAUUCAGCCGCCAGAUAGAGUGGCGUCUCCUUCGCAUGGUUAGGCGGAUAUUCGAAUUCAGAAUCUUCUUUCACCAAGAGCUUAACCACAUCUAGAUGUUGGCUCCUCACAGCCUUGUGCAGGGCUGUAUCUCCACUAGCAUCCGUCAUCCUCAUGAGUUUCUCCUUAGUAUUAUGAUCUUCUAUACGUGCAAGUAGCACACGUACUACUUCAGUGUGCCCUUCGUUAGCUGCUAUGUUUCUUGUUUUGACAGCAUAACAAUGCCAGAGUAAUCUUAAGGACUUCUGCCACGAAAUGGGAGUGGCCAUAGAGAGCUGCGACAUGGAGGACCGUGUUUCCCUUUGGAGUGACUUGGUAGCCGUUUUCUUCAUCAUUUUUCAAAUGAUCAGCAAGUAGAAAAUUUGCAUCUCCGACAUUGCCUCUCGUCGCAGCAUUAUACAUGGUCGAGUCCAUUCCUUUUGAUUUGGUGGUUUAUCCAAGAUCUCCUGUGAGUCCUUUGCUUUCUCUGGAUGAAACAUUAUUACAUAGGAAAAACUAAUUAGAUGCUUAAUGAAUCUCAAAGAAGAAAGGGAUCUGGUGUUUGCCUUGAUCACAAGAAAGGGAUUUUGAUGUUUUCGUAUUUUCUCUUUCUUGUCAAAACAACCCACUCUAAUCGCACAUCAUAAAGCUUACUCUAAAGUAAAGAAUCUCUAAUAAAUGAAAUUAAAAACCAUGAUCAUAUUAUACAAUAAGAAUUCAUAUUAAUAGUGAAACAAGAUGCUGAUGACAUAUCUAUCUCUCAAGAACAUUAUACAAAAAGAUUGAGGAACUGCAAGCCAGUGAACAUGUCAACGUUGUAACCAAAUUGUAUUAGGAACAUUAUGUAGGAAGUUUCAGAUCAUAAGGCCCUUUCUUUCACCAAAGCAACGAUACUUCUUAUUUACGCGCAGUAUUAUCUAUAGUAGCAACUUUAUCAACUUCCAACGCCAAAUUGUAUGACUAACACAGUAGGCUGCUGCGACAUACUCGACUUUACAAGUUAAGAAAGGAACCAAAAAAAGAAAAAGAGAAAAACAAGAGAAUAUCAUCAUAGGUUGCUUCUUAAGCACCAAAGUGAAUGUCUUUUCUCCAAAAGAAAAGAUUGCAGUGUAAAGCAUUGUAGCUAUCCGUAGGGUAGGGGGAAGAGGCCCAGACCACAGGGGUCUAUUGUGUGUGGCCUUAUCCUACAUUUUUGCAAGAUUAUGCAUUAUAAAGCAUUGAAUUUGUAAUACGAAGAGAUUUUGGUAAAACUUGAUUUUGCUGUCAUGUAACCAGGAGGUCAUGGGUUCAAGCAUUGGAAACAACCUCUGGCAGAAAUCCAAGGUAAGGUUGCAUACAAUACACCCUUGUGGUGGGGCCCUUCCCCGGACCCUGCGCAUAACGGGAGCUUUAGUGCACCGGGCUGCCCUUCUAUCAUUUUCAAUUAGUUAGUCUUGUCUGUGUUGGAAAAAAGAGUCAUGACAAGAAAAUCUUAAAUAAUAAAAAGAUGUUUUUAUUCAUGUUUGUUUUUCUUUACAAAUUCCUUUCUUCUGAUCAAAGCAAACAAUAAGUACCUUUCUUUUGAUCAAAGGCAAAGAUCUGCGCGGUGUCCUGAAUAAAUCUAUAUAAUGUUUUAUCCAGAGAAAGCUAAGAACUCAGUAAACCAAAUAAAAGAACGAAAAUGGAUCCAACCUUGUACAAUGCUGCGGUGGAAGGCAAUAUCAGUGGUGGUGAUUUUUCACUUGCUGAAUAUCUGAAAAGGGAUGAAGAAAAUCCGUACCAAGUCGCUCCAACAGGCAACACAAUCUUGCACGUGGCCGCUCAUUAUGGCCACUGCCAUUUCGUGGCAGAAGUCCUUAAGAUUAGUCCGGCAUUGUUAUGCCAUCGGAACAAGAAGAAUGAAACUGCGCUUCACGUAGCAGCUAAUGAAGGUCACAUCGAAGUAGUCCAUUCGCUACUUAGUAUGGAUGAGCAUUAUAAGGAGACGCUCAUGAGGAUGACAGAUGAGAAUGGAGAAAUAGCGCUGCACAAGGCCGUGCGGAGCCGCCAUCAAGAUGAAGCCAGACUGUUGGCGAAAGAAUAUCCUGAAUUCGAAUUUCCAUCCAACAAGGCUCAGGAGACACCACUAGUCAAUCAUUCUCUGUUGCAUACAUUUUGGUCGAUUAAUAUUUAUGCUUCUUGGAUUUUUCAUUCAAUGCUAUGACGGGUGAUCGUCCUCACAGAUUCAAGGCACUGACUAGUAUGAACAAAAUGUAAGAGAAAAUAAAUUAGUUCUUACUAAUUUUUUUUAAUUAAAUAUGACGUGGAACUCUAGUAAGAUAACACAUGGAAAAGCUAUUUUUGAAAAACUACCAUUAACAAGCAUAGGCAUGUAUGAACCUGUUUGGUAACGGCAAUGAUAUAAACGAGCCAAACUUUUAACGGAUGAUAUAAAUGAGCCAUUUCCGAUAGUUCAAUAGCAUAUUUAAGCCUUUUCUAUUUGUUUUAAUUAAUGAUUUGGACCUCUAGUAAGACGACACGUGGCAAAGCUGUUUUCGAAAACCACCGUUAAUAAGUAACUAACAAAAAGUUUUCAUGUUUUAAAAAAACUGUUUAUGAAUAAUAUGAAUAUGCGAUUGAUGAAUAAAAUCUUGAAGAUAAGUUAAUUUUACAGGUCUUCUUUUGUUUAAUCAAUUCAGGGUACUAAGUAACAAAACAAUUUUUGAUGCAUUGAAGUAAAGAAUUCAAGACAUCCAAUUAUUUCAGUACCACAAUGUAUAUUGGUUUGCAGCUUAGGUACUUACUAAUAUGAUUUGGAGACUAAAUGUCAAAUUCGGCAAGUGCUUUGAUGUCUAACAUAUGAUAGAGAUUAAGAUGAAUAAAUAUUUUAUUAAGUAUAUUCUCUCACGAAAGAAUUUUUUUCUUUUUGUAUAUAAUUUAAAUGCUUGUUGACACCUAAUUUUUGUCCUCCACAACUACGUUUAAUCUCGAGUUUCUUCGAUUUUCAAAUAAAAUCACAACAAGUAUUUUUUCCAAAUAAACGCAUUUUAAAAUAUGCAUUUGGGUUAAAUUUGUCAUUUAAGUAAUAAUUAUAUAUUUUUGUAUUUGCAUAUACGGGAUUGUAUAAAUGAUGUCAUUUAAAUGAACAUUUUUUUUAAUCAAAAUUGGACUUUAAAUUAAGGAUUAUUUGAAAAAUAAAUUUAAUAAUUAAAGUCUUGAUUCAAAUAUAUUUAUCUUAAAAGAUAAUUUAUCUGAAUAAAUAUGUGUUUGAUUUUAUCGAAUCCAGAAGCUCGAGGUUAAAUAAGGUAUUAGUUCAGUUCGAAUUUUGAUUGAAUUGAGCCAAUCUAUUAAAAUUGGUCAUAAUUAAAAUCAAUUGGUCAUAAUUGCGAUGCAAUUGGCCAACUGAUUUUCAAUUGACCAAAACUUAAAUGAAUUGGCCAAAUCCCCAAAUAAAACCCAAAAUUCUCAAUUACCAGCCCAAUAAAAUAACCCAGCCCACACCCUUAUUCUCUUAAACAGCAAAACAACACCAAUAUCAACCUCACCAAACAACACGGUCUCAACCACAAAAACUCAACCUUAUACCCGAUCUCCAACGUACAAACAAUCAAAAAUGGCGUACAACUCCAGCAAACGAACGACCUCAACCCGAAUCCAAUCGAACCCGACCCUACCAGCUCGAAAUCCACCCGAAAUCAACCAGUUCGCAGCCCUCCUCAUGUGUCUCAUGCGAGAAAACCCUUGAAGCUUCCAGAAUCCGAUGAGCUGUCCCCCUAACGGCUCAACCCCGUGAUUCUCGGGAUAAUAGGUACGAUUUCGUACACGUUUGGAGGAUUUUCAUUGGUUUAGGGGUGUAUUCCGUUGGUUUCUCUUUUCUAUUGGUCCACGAUUUUCAAUCCGUUUUGGGAAGAAUUCAAAAAAUGGGGGCACCGUGUACUAAGGCCAUCGAGAGAGGACCCUCAUUCUUGUGACUAUAAAAAGCUCAUUCAUUGAGCUGAAAAAGGGGGGGAAGAGGGAUAGAUUCUAGGGUUCGGAAAUAAUUCGAGAAACUAGGCUAAGAGGGAGAGAUUCUAGGGUUCGGAAAUAAUUCGAGAAACUAGGCUAAGAUUGUUUUGGUUUUCGAAAGAGGGUGAAAAAGCUCAUUCAGUGAGCUGAAAAGAGGGAUUGUUCUUUAUUCUUCCCUUUUAGGUUCGAAAGUUCUUAUGUUCAAAAUUUGAAGGGAAAUUUCUUCUAAGAGAGAGGUAUUUGAAAGGAGGAAAAAACUGAGGGAGGUGGAAGAAGAAAUUUUGAGAAUGAGCGAUUCCUUUGGUGAAGUUUUCUGGUUUCCCUUCUUCUUCUUUUGAAACUUGCUCGUUUAAACGGAAGACCUGAAGGUUCGUCGAUUGGUCGUGACUUCCGAAUUGACAGCAACGUUAUUCUCUGGUGGUGAUCGAGAUUCCGUCAAGAGCUCGAGUCCCGUUUUGCUGCCCUGAAGCAGGUAACUCGUCGUUCCGUUUAGUUCCGUUUAAUUUCUGCCUGAUCUCGCCAUUACGUAAAUAUAACAAUGUUUACGAUAAUUUUCUGGGCUGGAAAUUGCUUGCUAUAGGAAGCCUUAUAGGCCAUAGGACCUUGUAUGAGAUAAUUUCAUCUGUUUCAUUUGAUUGCCGUUCGUGAUUCAUGUUCAACGAGCUGAUUAGUGUAUGAUGAAAACUGUCUUAUGAAAUUGCUUGUUCUAAUCAACGCUAUUAGGUACUGCGUAAAAUAGUUGUGUAUGUGCUCUAUAUUUCGGGAGGAAAAUAUUUGCAUAUUAUGUUUUUGCCACAACUGAUGGUUUAUGUAUCAUGUGUACUUGAGAUUAUUCAUUUAUGGAAUGUAUGUUAUAGGAUUUUCAUGUUUAUACACCUUAUACUCUACAAGAUGUCCUUAUCCGAAUGUUUCAAUUUGAGUAAAUGUGCAAUGCCCCUCUUCUGGUAAAAGGAUAGGUCCAUAAACUGGACAAGAUGAUGGGUUCAAAUGAUUUUGCAUCUUCUUUGGGAUUUGUUCUUAGGAGCCUCAUUUGUGACACUUCUUUAUCAAAGUUAAAUAAAAGAAGUCUUUUCUAUUUAUAGUGUGUAUUCCCUUACUUUACCUAUUUCGACAUAAGUUUAACACGUACACUUGUAGUUCUUAGUUGAAAAUUGAUUCUAAAACUAGCUUUUCCUAAGUCAUUACUAACUCGUAUUAGCUUGUAUACCACCUGUAAGAAACUUUUAGUAUCCUAUUCACUUGUCUGGUAAAUACACCUCUUCUUACAUCAUUCUUACUCUUGUUGGAUAAGAAAGCGUUUUUAGUUGCAUUGCUCCUUCCCGCCUUUCUGAUUCAUUUCAGUACCUAAGGUUAAGAGUUUUGCAUCCGUUUAAACACAAAAUCAUGUUCACGUUUUAUUUAAAGCCAUCUUCUUUUUCGUGUUAUCGUUUGGUAGAAAAAUUCAAUAGGGUAAAAGUUGUUUGUAGGCUAUAUGUGUGGUGACAUGCCUAAUUAAUGUGAUUACUCUGUGGGAGAAGUUCUGUUUUGGUUGUUUCCUGAUUNNNNNNNNNNNNNNNNNNNNNNNNNNNNNNNNNNNNNNNNNNNNNNNNNNNNNNNNNNNNNNNNNNNNNNNNNNNNNNNNNNNNNNNNNNNNNNNNNNNNNNNNNNNNNNNNNNNNNNNNNNNNNNNNNNNNNNNNNNNNNNNNNNNNNNNNNNNNNNNNNNNNNNNNNNNNNNNNNNNNNNNNNNNNNNNNNNNNNNNNNNNNNNNNNNCGGAUGGUCUCUUUCCCCUUGCUUCUAUUAAUGGGACACCGAGGCCCACCAUGUCUAUCGAGUCAGGCCCGAAUAAAAGCCCAAAGUCGAGCAUGUAGCAUAUGGAUACGAGAAGUCGAAAGAAGAGCAAAUGGAUUAAAGUCCUAUCAUUUAAAGCGGCUACGAGACCCCAAAAUCUCAUUUAUUAUUUUGUUUAUUUACUUAUUGUCGUCUUCAUUUAUUUAUUUAUUUCCUUAUUUAUUUAUUUGGGCCUCGAUUCCAAAGUUGUACUUAAUACAGGAGAAGCGAGACUCGAGCUAAAGGCUCGAAAACAUAAAAUUAGGACAGGUGGAAGACCGGCUGAAAGCCCAAUAUCUAGAUUAAGACAGGAUUGUCGAUUUGGGCCUAAUGACUCAAGUCCUUCUGCUUCUACCCUUUCCCUUUUACUUUUGCUAAUUUGUUUUAUGUGUUUUCUUGCGAACCUAGUUAAAAUUCCUAACUAAGUCGCUAAAAAUUGGUUUUGCAUAAACCUUAAAAAUAUUUCCUAAACAAAUUACUUUUUCCAACAAAUCAAUAUUUUUUCAAAGUUAAUCAAAAGACGAUUUUCAAAUAGUUCGAAUAAUUGUAAGUUAGCGGACGUUUUAGGUGUCUAACACCUUCCUAAAACGUUAAUAGGAACCACUUACUCGGAAUCUCUAACUUAAAACGAUUUUUCUGUUGUAGAUCGUUUAAAGUGUUUUAUAAAGGUUUCUUAAUUCUUUUUCAAAAUUAAGUGGCGACUCUCAAAAAAGUCAAAAUUUCUUCGCAAAACAAUGCUUGAUGUCAGACAUACGUGUAACGAACGUAUCUUAGACUAGUAACUAAAAUAACAUGUAAUGGACUGAAAAACCAUUUCUCUCAUAGUUGAAUUAUACAUUUGGAAGCAAUAAGUACAAGUAGUAGCUAGCAUUCAUGUCUCUCUUACGCUCAUCUAAUAAUAGCAAAAAAGUACGAUAAAAUAGAGAGGCAACCUAUGAAACAGACCGUAAUGGCAAGACCAAGUGAAUGUGAUAAAGUAGCGAACAUACCAGUUGCGAAUGCAAUUACAACUGCUAACAUUGACAUGCACAGAAAAAUAAUUGCGCGAUUACAAAGCUUCUCUAUAUCUUUAUGUUUAAGCUUUGUACUUACAUUUGCCAUGACAAAGUAGAUGAAUAUGGGAACAGCUGAGCAUGUGAAAGCAAUGGCAUCGGAAACAACAAAUGCACGAAAUGCUGUUUUCCUUGUUAGAAUCGCCAUCCCAUUAUUAUGGCUAUCGGGGUCGCUCUCAAAACCUCCUGGCAAUGUGAUACCAGCGGCGAAAGUGACUGUCAUUAUUAAAGUGGCUACAACAAUAUGGAUUUGAGCUACCUUCAUAAUUCCUUCAACUGCUGUUUGAUAUGCCUUUUUAGCUUUAUCGCGAUCAUCUUUCGUCAGUGGCUGGUACUCGUACUUCCGCUUUACCUCUAAGUCACGUUUUCCAAAUCGGCCAAUGCUACACAAAUCCCGCACCAAUUUCUCCUAUUUUCAUCAAUAGUACAGUUUAUAUUCAGCUAGAUUUCUGAAUCCUAAUUGUAAAAAGUCUUGAAAGUCAUUCUUAUUCUACUCUUGCAAGGACAAAAUAACUUCAAUAGUUAUCUGAAUAUAGUAUCGAAGAUGAUAUUUAAGAUUAGUAUACAGUACGGAGGCAUUUGAACUUGAAAAGGAGUAUUUGAAGUUUUGUGGAACUACUUGUGUUUGGACAAAACUGAAGAUUUGUGAGUGAACGCGAACCAUUCUUUCACUUGACAUAAUACUUGAACUAGUAUUUCAAUAUUUCACCAGAAUAUAUACUCAAGUGCAAUCAGUAUUUGAAAAACAAAUGUGUGACUGCUUACCUUCGCUGUUGUCACUAUGCGUGAUAAUGCUAUGUCAAGUGGGGUCUGGUUUUGUUUGUUAAAUGACAUCUUCUUUGCUCUAUGAUGGUAUAUUAAUUCACGUACAUGGUUAUCAGAGGCAGCAAGCAAAUGGAGAGGAGUGUUGCCGUCACUAUCUGGCUCAUCAACAAGGCUGUCGUACUCAUCAUAGUCUAAUAAGAAGCAGAUUAACUCGUCUUGAUUGAAAAAUACGGCAACAUGAAGAGCGUUUUGAUUGUUGCUGUUAAGCAUAUCGCGACAAUCAGGGCAGUGAUUUAAUAGCUUCUUUAUCAUGUUUACAUCACCUUCACUUGCUGCAAUGUGAAUUGCUGUCGUCCAGUCAUUUUCACUGCCUGCCGGAAGGUACACUAAGGAUUUUUUCCAUGCCAGCAUAUCAGAAACUAAGUCUUCCAUUCCCAAUUUAACAGCAUAGUGCGGUGAAUUCCAACCCCAUAAGUCAGGUUCCAAAGGCUUAUUCCAUCUCCAUAGUGAUCUAAUGCAAUCUGGAUGUGUCAACACGAUAAAAGCAUAAAUAAGGGGUUAGAUCUUCUCGCAUAUAUAGUUGCACGACUGACAAUACGAAAUCAUCAACAGAUUAUGGGAAAGUCAACUGAAGUUAGAUAUCGAUACAGCAAAUUAUGUACCUUUAUGUUCCUGAAUUACUGCUGCAUGCAGCGGCGUUCAAUUAGAUGGACCUGCAGCAUAAGUUGGUUUCUUGCAGGAUUCCAAGAUAUUAAUCAAAGCCUCAUGAAAACCAGAUUCAGCCGCCAGAUACAGUGGCGUCUCUUGCGCAUGAUUAGGCGGAAAUUCAAAUUCAGAAUCUUCUUUCACCAAGAGCUUAACCACAUCUAGAUGUUGGCUCCUCACGGCCUUGUGCAGGGCUGUAUCUCCACUAGCAUCCGUCAUCCUCGUGAGUUUCUUCUUAAUAUUAUGAUCUUCUAUACGUGCAAGUAGCACACGUACUACUUCAGUGUUCCCUUCGUUAGCUGCUAUGUGAAGAGCGGUUUCAUUUUUCUUGUUUUGACAGCGUAACAUUGCCGGAGUAACCUUAAGGACUUCUGCCGCGAAAUGGGAGUGGCCAUAGAGGGCUGCGACAUGAAGGACCGUAUUACCCUUUGGAGUGACUUGGUAGCCGUUUUCUUCAUGCCUUUUCAAAUGAUCAGCAAGUAGAAAAUUGGCAUCUCCAAUAUUGCCUCCCAUCGCAGCUUUAUACAAGGUCGGAUCCAUUUUGGAUUUGGAGUUUUAUCCAAGAUCUCCCAAUGACAAUCCUGUGAGUCCUUUGCUUUCUCUGAUGAAACAUUAUUAUAUAUAGGAAAAACUAAUUAGAUUCUUAAUGUAUUCAAAGAAGAAAGAGAUCUGGUGCUUGCCUUGAUCUCAAGAAAGGGAAUUUGAUGUUUUCCUAUUCCGCUUUCAUGUCAAAACUAAAAGAAUAUCAUGAACAGUUUUAAGAACUUAUUAAACCUCCCAAGACAAAGAUGUUUUUAUUCAUGUUUUUUCUUUUCAAAUUCCUUUCUUCUGAUCAAAGCAAACAAUAAGUACCUUUCUUUUGAUCGAAUGCAAAGAUCUGUGUGGUGUUCAGAAUGUUUCUAUAUAAUAUUUCAUCCAGAGAAAGCAAAGAACUCACUGGAAACCAAAUAAAAAAAACGAAAAUGGAUCCAACCUUGUACAAUGCUGCGGUGGAAGACAAUAUCAGUAAUGGUGAUUUCGUACUUUCUGAAUAUCUGAAAAGGGAUGCAGAAAAUGAGUACCAAGUCACUCCAACGGGCAACACAAUCUUACACGUGGCGGCAAAUUAUGGCCACUCCCGUUUCGUGGAAGAAGUCCUUAAGAUUAGUCCGGCAUUGUUAUGCCAUCAGAACAAGAAGAAUUAGACUGCACUUCACAUAGCAGAUAACGAAGGUCACAUCGAAUUAGCCCACUUGCUACUUAGUAUAGAUGAGCAUCAUAAGGAGACACUCAUGAGGAUGACAGAUGAGAAUGGAGAUACAGCGCUGCACAAGGCCGUGCGGAGCCAACAUCAAGAUGUAGCCAGACUGUUGGUGAAAGAAGAUCCUGCAUUCGAAUUUCCAUCCAACAAGGCUUGGGUAUUGCUGAGUAUAGUAUGCUGUGCCAUCGGUUGCAUCUCUUUCAUUAUGUACGUGUGGGUAGUGCUGAGUAUAGUAUGCUGGACACGCGUAGCAAAAAAAUAAUGUAUACGUACAAAAAGUAUUUUUGACAUAUAUACUUCGUGUAACUUUCUGAAUACAUAAUAUAAACUUUCGACAAAGGAUGCUCAACUAACCACCCUUUACUGCGUGUUGGUCAUGUAUCUUCUUGAAAGAGAAGUGUAGAGAGUGUCAAGACCACCCCUAACCCCCAACCCCCAAACCCCAAACCCCAACCCUAAACACAUGUACCAUGUAACUCUCACCAAAUUGGAAGAAAUCACUUAGUGUUUUUGCCUUUGUCGGGACAUUCAGUUGGUCUCACCGUACGAUAUAUAUUAGUAAUAUGUAAGAAAAAGACUAGUGCAGUUCAUGAACAUGAGCAGACACAACGAUUUCAAGUUAUAGUAAUUGAAUUCCUAAAAACUACAAAUACAAAUCGAACGUUGAAGUGGGUGAAAAUUCUAGGAGACCAUGAUUCAAAUGUGAGUUUACAUUUAUAACAAAAAUGACUUAAUAAAGCAAAAAUGAAUAAGAACGGUAUAAUUCAAUUCAACAUCUUUUGUCGUUUAGAAAUGCAUUCUUCCCUCAAUUUUUCGACAUAGGGGGUUAGCUUGCUUCCGCUGGUUAUGGGUGGACCGGUGAAGGAUCCAAAGGACAUGUUAUGAACAUGGAUAUUCCAGAGGCUAGCCAAGUUGUGCCCGAGGCUAAACCAGGAAGAAGCCCAAGAAUUAGACAGACCAACAAUACAUUUGCUUGCGAUUCGAAAAAGAGGCCCAAGAAUUAGACAGGUCAAAUGUCAUUAUUAUUACGCUGACCACCAGGUUGUGAGGUUUUCGCAAGGGAUGUUUUCCAUUUACAUUCUCGACUAUUAAAAAAAUCGACCAAACAACAUAAAUUAGACAGGUGCAUGUAGCUUAACCUCCUUAUCCAUCAUUGAAACUAUAUCCAUGUCACAUAGAAAACACGUAUGUAAAACCCAUGCAACAUAGUCAUACCCAGGGUUUCGAUCUAGUGGUAAGAGCAAACUUGUGAAUUAGGCGCACGUGACAAGUUUGAACCCUGCAACUGACAAAAUCGUUAUACUUAAGUGGAAAAGUAUUUUGCCAUGGCUUCUCCACUACUAACAUUUCUUUUUUGAAUUGUCAUGACAAAAGAUGUACAAUAAAAUAGUGAGGCAACCUUUGAAACAGACAGUAACAGCUAGACCAAGUGAAUGUGAUAAAGUAGCAAACAUACCCGUUGCGGAUGCAAUUACAACUGCAAACAUUGUCAAGCACUGACAAAUACUUGCGAUUCUAUAAAGCUUCAAUACAAUUUUUUUACCUUGAGGAGUUCUACUUUGAGCUGCCAUGAGGAAGUAGAUGAAUAUGGAAACAGCUGAGAAUGUGAAGGCAAUGGCGUCGGAAACAACAAAUGCACAAAAUGAUGUUUUCCUUAUUAGAAUCGCCAUUCCUUGAUUAGGGCUAUCGGAGUCGCUCUCAAAACCUCCUGGCAAUGUGAUACCAGCGGCGAAAGUGACUGUCAUUAUCAAAGUGGCCACAACAAUAUGGAUUUGAGCUACCUUCAUGAUACUUUUGACUACUGUUUGAUCUGCCUUUUUAUCUUUAUCGUGAUCAUCUUCCCUUACCUCAAAGUCACGUUUUCCAAAUUGACCAAUGCUGCACAAAUCCUCCAUCAAUUUCUCCUAUUUUAAUCAAUAGUAAAGUUUAUAGUGAGUCGGUCGAAAAAUUUAACACAGUAACUUGUCUAACUUAGAACUAAUCUGUUCAUAGCGUAGGAGACAACAGUAUCAUGAAAUACAAUUAUAGUUUUACUUGACAUAAUGGUCAGAAAGCUGAAGAUUUGUGAGUGCACGCAAAUCGUUCUUUCGCUUGACAUAAUCCUUGAACUAGUAUAUCAAUAUUUCACCAGCAUAUACUCAAGCGCAACCAGUAUUUGAAAAACAAAUAUGCGGCCGCUUACCUUCUUUGUUGUCGCUUUGCAUGACAAUGCUAUAUCAAGUGGAGUCUGGUUUUGUUUGUUAAAUGACAUCUUGUUUGCUCUAGGAUGUUUUAUUAAUUCAGGCACAUGGUUAGCAGAGGCAGCAAGCAAAUGGAGUGGAGUGUUGCCAUCACUAUCUGGCUCAUUAACAAGGCUGUCGCACUUAUCAGAGCCUAAUAAGACGCAGACUACCUUGUCUUGAUUUUUCAAUAUGGCAACAUGAAGAGCAUUUUGAUUGUUGCUGUUAAGCGUAUCGCGACAAUCAGGGCAGUGAUUUAAUAGCUCAAUGAUCAUGUUUACAUCACCUUCACUGGCUUCAAUGUGAAUUGCUGUUGUCCAGUCAUUUUCACUGCCUGCCGGAAGGUACACUAAGGAUUUUUUCCACCACAACAUAUAAGAAACUACGUCUAUCAGUCCUAAUUUGACAGCAUAGUGCAGUGAAUUCCAACCCCAUAAGUCAGGUUCCUCUUAUAAAGGCUUAUUCCAUCGCCAUAGUGAUCUAAUGUAAUCUGGAUGUGUCAAUACGAUAAAUGCAUAAAUAAGGGGUUAGAUCUUCUCGCAAAUAUAGUUGCACGACAGACACUAAGAUUUUGUACCUUUAUGUUUCUGAAUUACUGCUGCAUGCAGAGGUGUUCUAUUAGAUGGACCUGCAGCGUAAGUUGGUUUCUUGCAGGAUUUCAAGAUGACAAUCAAAGCAUCCUGAAAACCAGAUUCAGCCGCCCGAUACAGUGGUGUCUCCUGUGCAUGAUUAGGCGGAAAUUCAAAUUCAGGAUCUUCUUUCACCAAGAGCUUAACCACAUCUAGAUGUUGGCUCCGCACGGCCUUGUGCAGGGCUGUAUCUCCACUAGCAUCUGUCAUCCUCGUGAGCUUAUCAUUAGUAUUAUGACCUUCGACACAUGCUAGUAGCACACAGACAACUUCAGUAUGCCCUUCAUUAGCUGCUAUGUGAAGAGCGCUUUCAUUUUUCUUGUUUUGACAGCAUAACAAUGCCGGAGUAAUCUUAUGGACUUCUGCCGCGAAACGGGAGUGGACAUAGAGGGCUGCGACAUGGAGGACCGUGUUGCCCUUUGGAGUGACUUGGAUCUCUUAAGAUUCACUUCAUCUUAUGAUUCUUUUCUCAUAAAAACAAACAAGUAGAGUAGUCGAUUACUUAAGAAACGAACAAAACAUGACUACAGAACAAAGAAAAUCUUGUAGCCAACUCAAAUGGCGAACAUUGAUGACAUAUCUAUCUCUCAAGAACAUUAUACAAAAAGAUUGAAGAACUGCAAGCCAGUGAGCAUGUCAAGGUUGUAACAUAGACGCGAGUCUUUAUGUAAGUUAUGUAGGAAGUUUCAGAUCACAAGGACCAUUCUUUCACCAAAGCAACAGUACUUCUUACUAACACGCAAUAUUAUCUAUAGUAUCUUUCUCUUGUAGCAUCUUUAUCAACUUCCAACGCCAAAUUGCAUGACUAACACAUAAGGCAGCUGCAACAUACUCGACUUCACAAGUUAAGAAAGGAACCAAAAAAAGAAAAAGAGAAAAACAAGAGAAUAUUAUCAUAGGUUGCUUCAUAAGCACCAAAGUGAAUGUCAUUUCUCCAAAAGAAAAGAUUGCAGUGUAAAGCAUCGUAGCUAUUCGUAGGGUCGGAGGAAGAGGACCAGACCACAGGGCUCUAUGCGUAAGAAAGUGCGUAUAAUACUACGUUAAAAAAAGUUUUUCUUGCGAAGAAGCUUGUGAUUCUUUUGUCGAAAUAAGGACAAAUAGUUUGAUUUGAUAUUUUCAAAGAAUCAACUAAGGAAAUCUCAUUUUUCGUAUAUCGAAAACAAGAACUAUCCAUAUGUUAGUUAAACCAAAAUUUGGAUUGUACAAAUUUGGAUCCAUUUUCUUUUCAUUUUUUCCUUUUUUUUUUUGGAUUUUGGGAUUUAUUUCUUGUGUGUCCUUUAUUAUAUUAUCAUCGAAAUAUUUUUGAUACGGGUAAAGUUGUUGCCAUGUGAGCAGGAGGUAACGGGUUCAGGCCUUGGAAACAGCCCCUUGCAAAAAUGUAAGUUGAGGUUGCGUAAAAUAGAUCCUUGUGAUCGGGCCCUUCCACGGACCUUGCCAAUCACGGGAGCUUAGUGCAGCGGGCUACCCUUUUUUGUUUUAAGAAAUAUUCUGGACACCACACCUUUGAUAAAAAAGAAAAGGAAAGGUAUAAGCAAGGAAUUUGUUCAACUUUUUUCACAGGGCCAUCAACAACUGUUAACAGUAAACUCCUUCUACCAAUGCUAGAACAGAUGAGAAGAAAUCACCCUAGCGUUUAGCUUCUAGUGAAAAUUGAACACGAGACUUCAUAGUGCACGACAAACUUCAUUAACCACUAGGCGACACCUUUGGAUGUUUCUUUCAUCCAGAGAAAGCAAUCUUGCUCGCGAUGUUAGUGGUGGUGGAACCACACGUAGAGUCGGAGGGUAAUGAUCAUGAAGACAGAGCUAGUCGAGAUGAAAAAUUAGUUGAGAACAUUAUGAAGACAGCUCAAAUGCAUUUAGUUGUGGAAACUAUCUAUUAAUGACACACUAAUAUUAUUAACCAUUAUAUAGAAAAAAAAGAGAAUAAUAUUAGAGUGCUCUUCUUGAUGAAUCUCCAAAAUAGAAAACUAAGUACCAUAUAUUAGUUUUUGCCAGAUCCUCUCUAUAUAUUAAGAAAUCACUGAAUAUCUAUAAAUAUUUUGACUAGAGAACCCACAGAUUUUAAGUUAUGUACAAUGGAAUUUACUACCGAAAACCAAACACUGUAUCAGUAUAACAGAGAUUAUAUAAUCAUUAACAGUUGGAAACUGGUAAAGUUGUUGUCACGUGACAAGGUCACGUGUUUUAAGUCUUGAAAACAGCUAGCAGAAAUACAAGGUAAAGUUAUUGUUGCUGGAUUUAGUCAGAUCCUGAUUGGGAUCCUGACAAUUGGUAUCAGAGCCAGGGUUCCGUGUGACCUGUGUGGUGGAGAUGACUGAGGGCACUCGCUUCAAGCUGGUGGAUGAUCGACUGGCUAGACAUGAUGAAAUUUUGAAUGAACUGCUAACUAAUCAACAGGAAGUGUGUAACACUCAAAUAGGAAUUCAAGGAACCUUAGAGCUUCUCUUAGAAAGGCUAACAGCUCUUGAGAGAGUACCGAAUAGAGCUCAGGGUGAACACCAACAAGGAGAUGGGAUACUUCCUAAUCCGGCUCUGGAAAACAGACAAAAUAGGCUGAAAAUGGUGCCAAUUCCCCCUCCCAAGUGGGAAUUACCUAGUUUUAAAGGUCAUGAACCCAAGGUGUGGCUCCGUAAAUGUGAAAGGUAUUUCACUAUAUACAGAACAUUGGACAAUCUUAAGGUUGAUGCAGCUGCGUUGUAUUUGAAUAGGGUAGCAGAGACUUGGUAUCACUCUCUAGUACUGAGUAGAGGUGUGGUUAAUUGGGUAGAGUUUAAGGAAGAGCUAAUUAGCAGAUUUGAUGAUGAAUUACUGGAUGAUAUAGUGGAACAAUUUAAUAGACUCUCUCAAACAGGAUCAGUGGAUGAAUUUCUUGCUAAAUUUGAAGACAUCAAGGCUCAAAUGCUUGUGAGGAAUCCACACCUCAAUGAUGCUCACUUCCUAUCCAAUUUUGUGGGCGCUUUGAAGGAAGAGAUUCAAUUUUCUGUUAAGAUGUUCAAACCAGCUACACUUAAACUUGCUAUUGAAAAAGCUAGGAUGCAGGAGAAGGCCAAAGAAGCUGUCCAGAGGAGAAAUAAGGUCAUAAACAAGCCCACUGGUGUUUUAAUCCACAAUCCUAAUACCAAGGUAGGGGGGAGCUUAACCACUAAACCUAAUACAUUUAAAUUGAGUCCAGAAGUUUAUGAGUAUAGGAAGAUCAACACACUAUGUUUUAGGUGUGGUCAUAAGUAUCUCGUCGGUCAUCAAUGUAAACAAAAACAGUUGAAUUGUUUGAUGGGAGAAGUAGAGUCUAUUGAAGAGAGACCUGGAGAGAUAGAGGAUCCUUCCUUUUCGGAUGUGAUUAUUGAAGGAGAAUUAGACCAGGAAGUUCAGGAGGCCGUAUGCUUAAAUGCACUAUCAGGUAACAAUCAAGGGGUGAACACUAUCCUAGUCAGUGGUACUGUGAAGAAUAGAGCACUCACCUUGUUGAUUGACUCUGGAAGAACUCAUAGCUUUCUUGAUCAAAACACUCUUAUUGAAACUGGCUAUCAAGCUAGCUAUUGUGCACCAUUAAGGGUAAUAGUAGCUGACGGAAACUAUGUAAUGUGCACCUCUCAAUGCAAAGGGUUCUUGUGGAGAAUGCAGGGAAGAUAUUUUCAAGAGGACAUGCUUAUUAUACCUGUUGGAGGGUGUGACAUGGUGCUGGGAAAUGACUGGAUGAAGAAGCACAAUCCCACUAGAUUUGAUUAUGAAAAGAAGUGUGUUACUAUUGGCAGGAAGAGCAACAAGUUAGUGUUAAAAAGAAUAGCUGAGGAAGGGAAGCUUAAUAUGGUCACUAGUGGUACUAUGAACAAGAUGCUAAAAAAGGGGCAAACUCUCAUUUCUCAUUAGUUUAUGAUGAGUGCUGGUGACAACAGAACCCAUGAGCUAGUGGAUGAUGCUAUAUUGAAGGUAUUGGACCAGUAUCCAGAUGUGUUCAAGGAGCCAAUGACCUUGACUCCUGUUAGGUCACUUGACCAUGCCAUUCCUCUCAAAUCAGGGGAUGUUCCAGUGAGUUUGAGGCCUUAUAGGUACGCUUACUACCAAAAGAAUGAGUAGGAGAAUCAAGUCACUGAAAUGAUCAACCAAGGCAUAGUUCAACCUAGUCAAUCUCCAUUCUCUUCACCAGCUUUAUUGGUCAAGAAAAAGGAUGGAUCCUGGAGAUUUUGUGUAGACUUCAGGGGGUUGAAUGAGAUCACUAUAAAAGAAAAGUAUCCAAUACCUAUAGUUGAUGACUUACUGGAUGAAUUGCAUGGUUCUGUGAUCUUUUCCAAAGUCGAUCUCAGGGUUGUAUACCACCAAAUCAGGAUGAAGACUGAGGAUGUCAUAAAACUGCGUUUAGGACCCAUGUGGGUCAUUAUGAGUUCAAGGUGAUGCCAUUUGGCAUAACCAAUGCACCUGUUACUUUCUAAGCCUUAAUGAACCAAGUUUUUCAGCCAUUCCUCCGGAGGUUUGUCUUAGUAUUUUUUGAUGAUAUACUCAUUUAUAUUGUGUCCUUAAAGGAGCAUGUUGAUCAUCUGAUAGCUGUGUUUGAUACAUUAAGAGACCACUCCUUGUAUGCCAAAAGGUCCAAAUGUUCAUUUGGGCAUCCUAAGAUUGAAUACCUAGGUCAUAUUAUCAAUAGAGAUGGAGUAUCUACUGAUCCUGCUAAGAUCAAGGCUAUGUUGGAGUGGCCUACUCCUAAGUCCUUGAAGGCUCUUAGUGGAUUUUUAGGGCUGACAGGUUAUUACAGGAAAUAUGUGUCUGGUUAUGGUGCAAUUUGCGUACCUCUUACAGACUUGCUAAAAAAUGCCUUUAAUUGGAAUGAAGAAGCUGAUAUAGCAUUUAAAGCUCUCAAAACUGCUAUGUCCUCAACACCUGUACUUAUAUUACUCGACUUUGCCAAGGAAUUUGUUGUGGAAACAGAUGCUAGUCAUUAUGGUAUUGGUGUUGUACUCAUGCAGGAAGGCUAACCAGUGGCAUACUUCAGUAAAGUGUUAGCUCCAAAGCACAAGGGUAAAUCUAUAUAUGAAAAAAGAGUAUAUGGCCUUGUUGAAUGCAGUGGACAAAUGGAGGUACUACCUCCAGUUCAAACACUUUGUGAUCAGGACUGAUCAUCAUAGUUUGAAGUAUUUGAUAAAGCAAAGAGCUACCUCAGCCUUACAACAGAAGGGGCUUACUAAAUUGUUGGGACUUGAUUAUGAGAUCCAAUACAAGAAGGGUGCUGAGAGUAAGGUUGCUGAUGCCCAGAAGAUCAAGGAAAGCUGUUGGUUAUGAGUGUGAUGAUUCCAACUUGGAUGCAAGAGGUCACUAAUAGCAAUUCUGAGGAUCCUCGGGUGCAAGAAAUAAUUGCGCAAGUCACUAUGGAUUUGCAAGGUCCUAGUUUAUGGCAUUAUACUUCUGGAGUUUUGAGAAGAAAAGGAAAGGUUUACACUGGAGAUACUGGAGGCUUAAGACACCAUUUAUUGACUACAUUCCAUGCUUCUCCAAUGGGGGGUCAUUCAGGGCAGCUAGGCACCCUCAAGAAACUGUCUCAACUCUUUUAUUGUCCUAACAUGAAACAGAUGGUCAAUGAUUUUGUUGCAGGUUGUGAAGUGUGUCAAAGAAAUAAAGAUGAUAAUCCAGCUUAUCCUGGACUUUUGCAGCCACUACCUAUUCCUAAUCAAGCCUGCAGCCAAAUUAGCAUAGACUUUAUUGAGGGACUUCCUAAAUCUAGAGGCAAAGAGGUGAUCCUAGUAGUAGUAGACAGAUUGACCAAGUAUUCACACUUUAUUGCUUUAUCACACCCUUAUACUUCUGUCACAGUAGCUGAACUUUAUUGGAAUAGGAUACAUUGUUUACAUGGUGUUCUUGAUUCUAUAGUGACUGAUAGGGAUAGAGUUUUUCCUAGCCAUUUUUGGCAAGCUCUCUUCAAACUCUUGGGCACACAACUACACUAUAGCACGGCUUACCACCCCCAAAGUGAUGGCCAGACUGAGAGAGUGAAUAAAUGUCUAGAGAAUUAUCUCAGGUGCAUGGUGUCUAGCAGACCUACUCUUUGGGAGCCCUGGCUUACUGCUGCUGGGUGGUAGUAUAAUACUAACUUCCACACUAGCCUGCGGUGCACUCCUUUUGAAGCUUUUUGUAUGGGUAUUCACCUCCAUAUCUGUCCAUGGGACCACUAAUAGAGACUAAUGUUCCAGUGGCUGAGGAUACUGUUUUGAAGAGACAACAGAUGUAUCAACUUCUUAAGGACAAUUUGAGCAAAGCACAAGAGAGGAUGAAGCAUUAUACUGAUAGGAAGAGGUCAGAAAGGGAGUUCCAGGUGGGAGACAUGGUCUACCUUAGGCUUCAACCUUACAGGCAAACCUCUAUAGCAUUGAGAAAAAAUUUGAAGCUUUCGUCUAAAUAUUAUGGUCCUUACAAGGUCAUUUCCAAAACUGGAUCAGUGGCUUACAAACUUGAAUUACCUGCAGACUCUAAAGUACAUCCUGUGUUCCAUGUAUCCCUUCUAAAAAAGAAGGUAGGUUCCAAGGUGGUGGUGCAAUCGACUCUGCCUAUUACUGGGAUGAUGGUCAAUUUUUAGUCCAACCUGUGGCUAUUUUACAAAGACAGAUGAUCAAAAAGAAUAAUGUGGCUGGAGUGAAGGUUUUGGUUCAAUGGUCAAAUUUGCCGCCGGAAGAUGCUACCUGGGAAGACUAUGACCUCCUUAAGGCUAAGUUCCCUAAUUUUGAUUCUCAAGGAGGAAGAAAUGUAAUGAUCCUACUUAGUAUAGCUUAGCAUAUUUUAAUUAAGCAAAUAAAGAAAGCGGGCAGUGGGGAUCGUAGUUGAAGCACAGAAGGAGUGACUAACUCACUGACCUGGACGACUGAGAUUUAAUUGUUAUUAAUGAGGUGCAAGGGUGGAGAUCAUGCCACGUCGCCAGAAGUUGUUAUAUAACGACUAGUGGAGAGAGAAAACACAAACGAUAAUCUGGUAUUUCCUCUCCUUCCUCGUGCUCUCUUCUCUCUCUUCUCUUUCUUCUUCUCUACUCUAAACUUCUGAUCCUCCCCUUCUCUUCUCUGCAGAUUCAAGAACUUCCAUGGAUGCCCAUCUACCCUAGUUAUAGUAGAUUAAUUCAGUUCUUAAUUUCCUUAUAAUUGAUAUCCAUUUUUCAUUUUUUUGAAGUAAACCGAACAUUGUCCCAAAAAUUUUGAGUUUUUUUACUUUUAUUGUUGCUGAAUUUAGUCAGAUCCUGAUUGGGAUCCUGACAGAUGUGUGGGACAAAGAGAUAGGAUUAGAAAUGAAGAUAUUCGAGUAUGAGUGUCCUUGAUGAAGAACAAGAUGCAGCAAGCGAGACUGAGAUGGUCCAGGCAUGUAAAGAGGAGAUCAGGAGCCGAUGCCCCGAUAUGGAGGUGUGAGAGAUUGGCUCUGAAUGGUUUCAAGAGAGAUAGAGUAGACUGAAGAAGUAAUGGGGAGAACUGAUUAGACAAGAUAUGAUGUAGUUUCAGCUAAUUAGGGACAUGACCUAAGACGGGAGGUUAUGGAGGACACAAAUUCGGUAGAGUUGUCUCGCUUUUCCUUCCAUACUAGUUAGUCGUAGUACUACUCUUGUAGUUUCUCUUCCUUCAAUUUCUAUAAUUAUCUAUUACUCUUUUGUGCUUCGAUUAUCAUAGUAUUCUGUUGUAGUUACUGUUCCAAUUUUUUUUUUAAGACUGCUUUGUCAUGUUCUCUGUGCCCUUGGAAUAACUGGUAAAGUUGCUGUCAUGUGACGGGUUCAAGCCCUGGAAACAGCUUAGUGCACCGGGCUGCUUUGAAUUGUUUUUCCUUGCGCUGAAGGUCCAUUUAUAAUUCCCCAAACUCCAGUUGUGGAAUUUCACUGGGUAUAUUGUUGUUGUUGUACGAUGAAUUAUUUAGUGAAGGUACAUUGGUUCUAUAGCAUUUUCAGUGAUGAAAAAUGAUCUGCUGCGACCGCUUAUAAUUUAAAUAGAAGAAAAUGAUCUUACAUAGAUUGUUAUAUCAUGUGAUAAAGGAUGUAUAACUAAAAUAACAUGUAAUUCACGGCAUUGGGUAAAAACUGAAAUAUGUAGUUGAAUUAUAUAUAUGCAAGCAAUAAGUACAAGUAGUAGCUACUGGCUUACAUUCUUCAUCUCACUCUCAUCAUAUAUAUCUACAACUAUAAAUAACAACCAAGAAGUACAAUAAAAUAGAGAGGCAACUUAUGAAAUAGACAGUAACGGCAAGACCAAGUGAAUGUGAUAAAGUAGCAAACAUACCAGUUGCAAAUGCAAUCACUACUGCUAACAUUGACAAGCACUGAAAAAUAGCUGCGAGAUUAUAAAACUUCCAUACAAUUUUUUUCCGUUGAGGAAUUCUACUUUGAGCUGCCAUGAGGAAGUAGAUGAAUAUGGCAACAGCUGAGAAUGUGAAGGCAAUGGCAUUGGAAACAACAAAUGCACGAAAUGAUGUUUUCCUUAUUAGAAUCGCCAUCCCUUGAUUAGGGCUAUCAGAGUUGCUCUCAAAACCUCCUGGCAAUGUGAUACCAGCGGCGAAAGUGACUGUCAUUAUCAAAGUGGCCACAACAAUAUGGAUUUGAGCUACUUUCAUAAUACUUUCAAUUACUGUUUGAUCUGCGUUUUCAGCUUUAUCUUGAUCAUCUUUCCUCAGUUGCAUUGCGACUCCUAUACCCGUUUGAUCAUUUGGAUUGGACAUGGACUUGUACUUCCGCUUUACCUCAAAGUCACGUUUUCCAAAUAGGCCAUUGCUAAACAAAUCCUCCACCAAUUUCUCCUAUUUUCAUCAAUAGUACAGUUUAUAUUGAGUCUGUCAAAAAAUUUAACACAGUAACUUGAUUAACUGAGAACUAAUCUGUUCAUAGCUUAGGAGGCAACGAUAUCAUGUAAAAAUUGAAUUACAGUUUUACUUGAUGUUUCAACACCACAUCAAGAAUGGUCAGAAAUAGAAGUUGGAUCUAUAAAAGCAUUGUUAUUAAAAGUUAAAAGAGUAGUCCAUAGCAACGCAACCAGUAUUUGAAAAACAAAUGUGUGGCUGCUUACCUUCUUUGUUGUCGCUUUGCAUGACAAUGCUAUAUCAAGUGGAGUCUGGUUUUGUUUGUUAAAUGACAUAUUCUUUGCUCUAGGAUGGUUUAUUAAUUCAGGCACAUGGUUAUCAGAGGCAGCAAGCAAAUGGAGAGGAGUGUUGCCGUCGCUAUCUGGCUCAUCAACAAGGCUGCUGCACUUAUCAGAGUCUAAUAAGAAGCGGACUACAUUGUCUUGAUUGUUCAAUACGGCAACAUGAAGAGCAUUUUGAUUGUUGCUGUUAAGCAUAUCCCAACAAUCAGGGCACUGAUUUAAUAGCUUAUAUAUCAUGUAUACGUAACCUUGACUGGCUGCAAUGUGAAUUGCUGUAGUCCAGUCAUUUUCACUGCCUGCCGGAAGGUACACUAAGGAUUUUUUCCACUCCAGCAUAUCAGAUACUACGUCCGUCAAUCCUAAUUUAACAGCAUAGUGCAGUGAAUUCCAACCCCAUAAGUCAGGUUCCUCGCAUAAAGGUUUAUUCCAACGCCAUAGUGAUCUAAUGCAAUCUGGAUGUGUCAACACGAUAAAUGCAUAAAUGAGGGGUUAGAUCUUCUCGCAAAUAUAGUUGCACAGCAGACACUACAAAAUCAUCAGCAAAAAUUGCAGAUAACUAUUUUUUAGUCAAAGAAUAUAACGUUGCCCAGAUAUUGAAAUGACAUUACUCAACCCACCCCUCCUCUAAGUCUUCUUCUCUUCCCUCCUAUUUUUUCUUACGGCAGAAUCGCUAUUCAGGUGGAUAAAAACUGCUGGACAUUAAAUAACCACAUCACGAUUGAUUUUGGUUGGCUAGUUUAGAAAGUCACAGGGUUAGGCCAAAACUUCUUUGUUCACAUCAUUCGCUACACCUUGGCGAGAUAGUCUUUUGGAAAGGAGAAGAGGGAUUGGGGUAGUUGUCAGAGAUAUUAAAUAGUAAGAAAAUUAGUCCAUUGGAUUAUAAGUUGAUGCAGAUAAUGGAGGAUCCUAGUGAGACUAUCGACAUGAUUAAUCCAUAUUAUGGGAAAUUCAACUAAAGUUAGAUGUUGAUACAGCAAAUAGCAAAAAUUAUGUACCUUUAUGUUCCUGAAUUGCUGCUGCAUGCAGAGGCGUUCUAUUAGAUGGACCUGCAACAUAAGUUGGUUUCUUGAAGGAUUCCAAAAUUUUAAUCAAAGCAUCAUGAAAACCAGAUUCAGCCGCCAGAUACAGUGGCGUCUCCUGCGCAUGGUUAGGCGGAAAUUCAAAUUCAGGAUCUUCUGUCACCAAGAGCUUAACCACAUCUAGAUGUUGGCUCCUCACGGCCUUGUGCAGCGCUGUAUCUCCACUAGCAUCCAUCAUCCUCGUGAGUUUCUCCUUAGUAUUAUGAUCUUCGACACAUGCAAGUAGCACACGUACUACUUCAGUGUGCCCUUCAUUAGCUGCUAUGUNNNNNNNNNNACAGCAAAACAAUGCUGGAGUAAUCUUAAGGACUUCUUCCACAAAAUGGGAGUGGCCAUAGAGGGCUGCGACAUGGAGGACCGUGUUUCCCUUUGGAGUGACUUGGUAGCCAUUUUCUUCAUCCCUUUUCAGAUGAUCAGCAAGUAGAAAAUUGGCAUCUCCGAUAUUGCCUCUCAUCGCAGCAUUAUAUAGGGUCGGAUCCAUUCCCUUUGAUUUGGAGUUUUAUCCAAGAACUCACAAUGACAAUCCUGUGAGUCCUUUCUCUGGAUGAAACAUUAUUAUAUAGGAAAAACUAAUUAGAUUCUUAAUGAAUCCCAAAGAAGAAAGGGAUCUGGUGUUUGCCUUGAUCACAAGAAAGGGAUUUUGAUGUUUUCGUAUUUCUCUUUCGUGUCAAAAGUGAAAGAAUAUCAUGAACAUAAACAGUUUUAAGAACUUAUUAAACCACCUAAGACAAAAAGAAUGCUUGGAUCUCUUAAGAUUCACUUCGUCUUAUGAUUUUUUUCUCAUAAAAACAAACAAGUAGAGCAGUCGAUUACUUAAGAAACGAACAAAACAUGACUACAGAACAAAGAAAAUCUUGUUGCCAACUCAAAUGUGCUAUAGAGGAAACUUACCGAAACAAUAAUGGCGAUCAUUGGCUCCCAUUUCCCCAUGAGACUGGCGGAUGUUGCUCCUUUUCCCUUUACUCAACACAUGCUCUUCGCGGAUCUACAACAUCCAAACUGAAAACCAGCCGCACAUUCGUGAUAAAUUUAAUUUGAAUUCAUAAAUAGUGAAGAAGAGGUCAAUAGAAGGAUACCUAGAAAAAUGCUCCGAAAAAGGUCUCUUAGCAUUGUUGCAUAAACACAACAUAUUCCUCUAUAGAAGGCCCUAUGGAGUAAAGGGGAGUGGGUGAAUUCUAGGAAAAAGAGGGAGCGAGCCUAUAUAAAUAGAAAAUGAAAUAAAGAAAAUUUCAUGAAUAGAUAGAGUCAACGGUACAACAAACAGUGCUGCACAUGAAAUCUUUGCGGAGGGGCUCAAAUUAGCUACCCUGGCACUUAAACAACCCACCCAAAAUUUCAGGUACUGAUACAAAUACGAUCGUGAUCAUGAACGUUUUUUGGAGUAUAUUAAAGGCAACCGAGAGAGUGCACACGUGUAAGUGUGAAGAAGGCCCAAAGCCGCCCAUAUGGUGCACUCAAUGGGUGCCCAUUUUGAAGACCAGUCAUUAAAGGGUCUUUAGUCUUUUGUCUCUUAUUGUAAUGUAAUAUAAAUAGAACCUUGUAGGGUUUUAGUUCCUUAGUUUUUGAAUGUUAUUGAAAGAAGUUCCUCUAGAGAAAGUGAGACCAACGGUAACUAGGGUGAUACUAGUGUGGACCAGUGUUGCAAAACAUUGUUAGAAACCUUGGUGCUUGAGAGGUGGACACCCUCUUGUGUCAUCGUAGAGUGUUGGUGUUGAUAUUAAGAGUGUUAAGGGUCUUGGUAUUUAAUAUAUACCUUGGUUCUUCUGAUCAAAGCAAACAAUAAAUAACUUUCUUUUGAUCAAAGGCAAAGAUCUGUGUGGUGUUCACAAUAUUUCUAUAUAAUAUUUCAUCCGGAGAAAGCAAAGAACUCACCAGCAAACCAAAUAAAAGAAACGAAAAUGGAUCCAACUUUGUACAAUGCUGUGGUGGGAGGCAAUAUCAGUAAUGGUGAUUUUUCACUUGCUGAAUAUCUGAAAAGGGAUGAAGAAAAUCCGUACCAAGUCACUCCAUCACUCAACACAAUCUUACACAUGGCCGCUCAUUAUGGCCACUCCCAUUUCGUGGCAGAAGUCCUUAAAAUUAGUCCAGCAUUGUUAUGCCAUCGGAACAAGAAGAAUGAAACUGCACUUCACGUAGCAGCUAAUGAAGGUCACAUGGAAGUAGUCCACUCGCUACUUAGUAUGGAGGAGCAUCAUAAGGAGACGCUCAUGAGGAUGACAGAUGAGAAUGGAGAUACAGCACUGCACAAGGCCGUGCGGAGCCAACAUCAAGAUGUAGCCAGACUGUUGGUGAAAGAAGAUCCUGCAUUCGAAUUUCCAUCCAACAAGGCUUGGGAGACACCGCUGUAUCUGGCUGCUGAGUCUGGUCUUCGUGAAGCUUUGAGUGAAAUCUUGAACUCAUGCAAGCAACCAACUUCUUCUGCAGGUCCAUUAAAUCGAACACCUCUGCAUGCAGCAGUAAUUCAGGAACACAUGGGUAUGUACAUAUUUUUUUGACACUACUCUCACUAUGUUAAAAUCUCUUUUUGAUUCUUGUUACUAUCUGUUGUAUCUUGUACUUCGACUAUCGUAUUAUUUUGUUCCAGUACUGUUCUGUUUUGGACUGUUUUUCUUGAGCUGAAAGUCUAUCGGAAACAGCCUCUCUGCCUCCGAGGUAGUGGUAAGGUCUGCGUACACUCUACCCUUCCCCGGACCCACUUAGAGACUACACUGGGGAGUCUAAAUUUGCGUUGAUUUAACUCCUUAUCAUCAUCAUCUUUGAUGCAUGCAUCCAGAUUGCGCGAGAUUGCUAAUGCAAUGGAAUAGAUAGUUGUGUGAGGAACCUGACGUGGGGGGUUGGAAUUCGCUGCACUUUGCUGCUCUUCUGAGAUUGAAAGAAAUAGUUUCCGAUAUGCUGGUGUGGAAAAGAUCCUUAGCCUACCUUCCAGCAGGCAGUGAAAACGACUGGACAACAGCAGUUCACAUUGCAGCCGGUGCAAGUAAGAUGUUUUACAUGAGCUAUUAAAUCACUGCCCUGAUUUCUGGGAAAUGCUCGACAGCAAUGGCCGAAAUGCUCUUCACGAAGCCAUAUUCUGCAGUCAAGCAAAUGUGGUGAAUUAUUUAUUGAAGUCCACAAAGUGGGAUAAGCUUGUCGAGGAUCCAGACAACGAUGGCAACACACCUCUCUAUUUGCUUGCUUCCUCUAAUUUUUGGGGCUACGUGCCUCUGGAAUUAAAAGAUCAUCCCCGAGCAAAGAAGAUGUCAUAUAACAAGGAAAACAAGACUCCCUUUGACGUAGCAGUGUCUUGCACAGAGUGGACGGCAGACAAGGAUAGAAUCGCACCUAGCUUGUAUCACGAUUUCCUUAAUUCCAUUGCUCAGCUGGGACGACGUUCACCCAAGCUGAACCAGAUGGAUCGGCAGAAGAUAAUUUUCAACCAAGCUAAGGAACGCGACAUAAAUAUCAAAGGUAUCUUGUCAGCAGCUCAAAUGCAACUAGUUGUAGCUACUCUAUUAGUCACAUUCACCUUUACGGCUGGUUUUACAUUACCGAGAAGUUUUGAAAGCGAUGACAAUAGCCCUAAUAAGGGGAUGGAAGUUCUAAUAAAAAAAACAGCAUUCCGUGCAUUUGUUAUAACGGAUGCCAUCGCCUUUGCAUGCUCCGCUGGUGCUAUAUUCAGAUACUUCUAUAUGGCGACAAAUCCUCGUCCAAUGUUUUAUCAGGAUUUGGAUUAUUUGUGGUCUCUCAGUAAAGUUGGAGCUAGGUCGCAGCUCGUGGCAAUGUCAGCAGUUGUAAUUGCAUUUGUAACUGGUAUGUAUGCUACUUUAGCACAUUCAGUUGGUCUCGCUGUUACUGUCUGUGCCUUCGGUUGCAUCUCUUUCAUUAUGUACGUGUGGGCAGUGCUGAGGCCAGUAUGGUGGAUACCUAUAGCAAAAAGGUGAUGUAUAAGGUAAUGUAUACGUACAAAAAGUAUUUUUGACAUGUAUACUUUGUGUAAUUUUCUAUAUACAUAAUAUAAAUUCAUUGGUUGCACCUCUUUCCUUGUGUACAAACUUCUGUUAUGUUCCUUGAACUGAACUCGCGAUAUAUAUUAGUAGUAUGUGCAAUAAAGACUAAUGAAAUUCAUGAACAUGAGCGGAGACAAUGAUUUCAAGUGUUAGUAAUUGAAUUCCUAAAGAUUACAAAUACGAGUCUAGAACCGCUGAAGGAUCCAAAGGAUACCCCAGAGGCCAGCCAGGCUGUUGUGCCCGAGGCUAAACCACGAAGAGGCCCAAGAAUUAGACAUACCAAUUAAAAUUACUGGAGGUCCACGUCACUAAUUAAAAUUAUGUGAAUGUCCCAAUUAAGUUAACUAAACAACUGAAUAUAUUUCUAGAUGUUCUUAGGCCAAGCUCCAAUAAUUGUAAAAAAUAAGUGAGCCCUAAAAUAUUCUUUUGCCAAGCCUUACAAACCUCAAAAUGACUAGUCAAUCAUUCUCUGUUGCAUACAUUUUGGUCGAUUACUGUUUAUGCUUCUUGGAUUUUUCAUUCAAUGCUAUGACGGGUGAUCUUCCUCAUAGAUUCAAGGCACUGACUAGUAUGAACAAAAUGUAAGAGAAAAUAAAUUAGUUCUUACUAAUUUUUUUAAUUAAAUAUGACGUGGAACUCUAGUAAGAUAACACAUGGAAAAGCUAUUUUUCAAAAACUACCAUUAACAAGCACAGGCAUGUAUGAACCUGUUUUGUAACGACAAUGACAUAAACGAGCCAAACUUUUAACGGAUGGUAUAAAUGAGUCAUUUCUUAUAGUUUGAUAGCAUAUUUGAGCCUUUUCUCUUUGUUUUAAUUAAUGAUGUGGACCUCUAGUAAGAAUACACGUGGCAAAGCUGUUUUUGAAAACCACCGUUAACAAGUAAUGGCAUGGAUGAACCUGUUUUGUUACGGCGAUAACAAAACGAGCCAAACUUUUAACGGAUAGAAUAAAUGAGCCAUUUCUAAUAGUUCGAUCGCAUAUUUGAGCCUUUUCUCUUUUUUUUAAUUAAUGAUGUGGACCUCUAGUAAGACGACACGUGUCAAGCUGUUUUGAAAAACCACAGUUAACAACUAAUGGCAUGAAUGAACCUGUUUUGUAACGGCGAUGGCAUAAAUGAGUCAAACUUUUAACCGAUGGCAUAAAUGUGCCAUUUCAAAUAGUUCAUGUCAUAUUUGUGCCUUUUCUCAUAUCGAUACAAUCAGCUCAAACACUUUUAAGAAUAGGAUAAGCUACAUACGUAACCCAAAAGUUCUUGAAAUAGAUUAGAGGCAUCAAGAGCAAUUGGAAUAUGAAAAACUUCAAUCGUAUAGUUUAUAGAUCUCGCGAUGCCUUUUUUCCAUUUAAAAGUAUAUUUUAUAUUGUAAAUUUUAUUCAAAAUUGACUAGAAUUUUAUUUAUCAAAAUUUUCCUUAUCUGAAGUGUAUAAAUCCCUAAAAUUUAGGAGUUCAAGAUUAAUUAUUAUUUUUCAUAUAUAUAUAUAUAUAUAUAUGAAGCAUAUCAAAUUUUAUUUUAUCCCCGUUUGUCUGUUAAAAAUUGAACGAAAAGAUGUGAAAACUUCAAAAGUAGUUAGCUUUGUUUUGUAGAGCUCCUGUUAUUAAUUUGAUUAACAAAUUAUGAUAUUAUUUCUUCUAUGAAUAUUGAAUAUCCAGAUCUUAUGAAAUUUAUUGUUAGCACAAAAAAAUUUAUGAAAUUAAUUAGACUAUGUUUUUCUUAUAAAAAUAUUUUAGUAAUUUCUUGAAAAUAUUUUUUCAUCUUUUAAAAAACUGUUUAUGAAUAAUAUGAAUACACAAUUGAUGAAUAAAAUCUUGAAGAUAAGUUAACUUUACCGGUCUUCUUUUGUUUAAUCGAUUCAGGGUACCACAAUGUAUAUUGCUUUGCGGCUUAGGAACUUACCAAUAUGAUUUGGAGACUAAAUGUCAAAUUAGGCAAGUGCUUUGAUGUCUAACAUAUGAUAGAGAUAAAGGAGAUGAAUAAAUAUUUUAUUAGGUAUAUUCUCUUACGAAAGAACUUUUUUUCUUUUUGUAUAUAAUUUAAAUGCUUGAUGUCAGACACACGUGCAACGCACGUAUCCUAGACUAGUAACUAAAAUAACAUGUAAUGGACUAAAAAACCAUAUCGGUCGUAUGUAAUUCAAGGUAUUGGGUAAAAACUGAAAUAUAUGUAGUUGAAUUAUACAUUUGGAAGCAAUAAGUAGAAACUCUCAUCACAAAAAUCUACAAAUAUAGAUAAAAACCAAGAAGUACAAUAAAAUAGAGAGGCAACCUAUGAAACAGACAGUAACGACAAGACCAAAGGAAUGUGAUAAGGUAGCAAACAUACCCGUUGCGAAUGCAAUUACAACUGCUAACAUUGACAAGCACUGAAAAAUACCUGCGAGAUCAUAAAACUUCUCUACAGCUUUCUUAUUUUGAUGAAAUCUGCCAUGAGGAAGUAGAUGAAUAUGGCAACACCUGAGCAUGUGAAGGCAAUGGCAUCAAAAACAACAAAUGCACGAAAUGCUGUUUUCCUUAUUAGAAUCGCCAUCCCUUGAUUAGAGCUAUAAGGGUCGCUCUCAAAACCUCCUGGCAAUGUGAUACCCGCGGCGAAAGUGACAGUCAUUAUCAAAGUGGCCACAACAACAUGGAUUUGAGCUGACUUCAUAAUACUUUCGAUUACUGUUUGAUCUGCCUUUUUAGCUUUAUCUUGAUUAUCUUCCCUCAGUUGUAUUUUGACUCCUGUUCCCGUUUCAUCAUUUGGAUUGGGCAUGUACUCGUACUUCCGCUUUACCUCAAAGUCACGUUUUCCAAAUCGGCCAAUGCUACACAAAUCCUCCACCAAUUUCUCCUAUUUUUAUCGGUAGUACAGUUUAUAUUGAGUCUUGUCGAAAAAUUUAACACAGUAACUUGUCUAACUGAGAAUUAAUCUGUUCAUAGCUUAGGAGGCAACGAUAUCAUGUAAAAAUUGAAUUACAAUUUUACUUGACCACAUCAAGAAUGGUCAGAAAGAUAAGUUGGAUCUAUAAAAGCAUUGUUAUUAAAAGUUAAAAGAGUAUUCCAUAGCAAUGCAACCAGUAUUUGAAAAACAAAUAUGUGACUGACUUCUUACCUAUUUUGUCGUUGCUUUGAAUAUCAAGUGGAGUCUAGUUUUGUUUGUUAAAUGACAUCUUCUUUUCUCUAGGAUGGUUUAUUAAUUCAGGCACAUGGUCACCAGAGGCAGCAAGCAAAUGGAGAGGAGUGUUGCCGUCGUUGUCUGGCUCAUCAACAAGGUUGUCGCACUUAUCAGAGCCUAAUAAGACGCGGACUACCUUGUCUUGAUUGUUCAAUACGACAACAUGAAGAGCAUUUUGAUUGUUUCUGUUAAGCAUAUCCCAACAAUCAAGGCAGUGAUUUAAUAGCUUAUUUAUCAUGUUUACGUCACCUUCACUGGCUGCAAUGUGAAUUGAUGUCGUCCAGUCAUUUUUAGUGCCUGCCGGAAGGUACACUAAGGAUUUUUUCCACUCCAGCAUAUAAGAAACUACAUCUAUCAGUCCUAAUUGGAACAGCAUAAUGCAGUGAAUUCCAACCCCAUAGUGAUCUAAUGCAAUCUGGAUGUGUCAACACGAUAAAUGCGUAAAUAAGGGGUUAGAUCUUCUUCCAAAUAUAGUCCUAAUUUAACAAUCCUGUGAGUCCUUUGCUUUCUCUGGAUGAAACAUUAUUAUAUAUAGGAAAAAUUAAUUAGAAUCUUAAUGAAUUUCAAAGAAUAAAGGGAUCUAGUGCUUGCCUUGAUCACAAGAAAGGGAUUUUGAUGUUUUCAUAUUUCGCUUUCAUGUCAAAAUUUGGAUUGUACAAAUUUGGAUCCAUUUUCUUUUCAUUUUUUCCUUAUUUUUUUGGAUUUUGGGAUUUAUAAAUAUUUCAAAUUAUGAUCUUUUGUGUCCUUUAUUAUAUUAUCAUAGAAAUAUUCCGGUCUCCGGACACGGGUAAAAUUCCUGUCAUGUGAUCAGGAGGUCACGGGUUCAACUCUUGGAAACAGCUUCUUGUAGAAAUGUAAGUUGAGGUUGCGUAUAAUAGAUCCUUGUGCUCGGGUCCUUCCCCGAACCCUGCACAUAGCGGGAGUUUAGUACACCAAGCUGCCCUUUUUCUUUUUUUAGAAAUAUUCUGGACACCACACAAACAUUUGCCUUUGAUAAAAAUAGAAAAGCUAAGGUAUUUAAUUUGUUCUUUGCUGUAGUUGGAAGCAAGGAAUUUGUUUAACUCUUUUCACAGGCCAAUCAACAACUGGUACCAGUAAACUCUGUCUACCAAUACUAGAACAGAUCGUGAGAAGAAAUCACCCUAGCGUUUAGCUUCUAGUGAAAAUUGAACCCGAGACCUUAUAGUACACAACAAACUUCAUUGAACACUAGGCGAUACCUUUGGAUGCUCCUAACUAGCAUCUUUGAAUUAAGACUAUAAUUGUUUCUUUCGUCCAGAGAAAGCAAUCCUGUUCGCGAUGUUAGUGGUGGUGGAACCACACGUAGAGUCGGAGGGUAAUAAUCAUGAAGACAGAGCUAGUCGAGAUGAAAAAUUAGUCAAAAACAUUAUGAAGGCAGCUCAAAUGCAUUUAGUUGUGGCAACUAUCUAUUAAUGACACACUAAUAUUAACCAUUAUACAGAAAAAAAGAAUAAUAUUAGAAUACUCUGCUUGAUGAAUCUCCAAAAUAGAAAACUAAGUACCACUAUUUUCCUUUGACCCAAAGAAAGGCAUUUGUUACCUAAACUUUGCCUUCAUCAAAAGAAAGGGAUAACUUCUUGUUUGGGUUUUAUGUUUUAUAACUAAGUAAAGCAUCUAGCACCCCCCGAACUAUGACCAAAUUUUUUACAACACACUCCAACUUCACAGAGGUCCUAUUACCCCCUUGAACUCAAUGUUAGCGUAUUUUUGUAAAUUGCAAACACAGGAUUCUCGGCCUGAAUAUGUAUAUAUGUGUAAGUCUCUGUGUGUGUAGCUGAUAAAGUUGGAGUAACUGGCAAAGCUGUUGUCAUGUGACUAGAAGGUCAUGGGUUCAAGUCUUGGAAACAACUGGCAGAAAUGCAAGGUAAGGCUGCGUACAAUACACCCUUGUGGCAGGCCCUUCUCUGAACCAUAGUGGGAGCUUUAGUGCACCCUUUUUUGUCAUGCUCUCUACAGUCUUUUUUCAUGGCUUCUCCGCUUCUAACAUUUCGUUUUUGUACUGCUUUGAAUUGUUAUUCCUUGCACUGAAGGUCUAUAAAAAUUCGGAAAGCUCUUUGUCUUCCAAUGUAGGGGAUAAGGUCUGCCUACCUUCUGCGCUACCCAAACUCCACUUGAGGAAUUUCACUGGGUAUAUUGUUGUUGUUGUACGAUGAAUUAUUUUGUGAAUGUACAUUGGGUCUAUAGCAUUGUCGGUGACGAAAAAAAAUGAUCUCCUGUGACCGCUUAUUAUUUGAAUAGAAGAAAAUGAUCUUUGUUAUAUCAUGUGAUAAAGAAUGUAUUACUAAAAUAACAUGUAAUGGACUAAAAAGACACAUCUGUCAUAUGUAAUUCAAGGUAUUGGGUAAAAACUGAAAUAUGUAGUUGAAUUAUACAUCUGCAAGCAAUAAGUACAAGGGAUGUUUUUUAUUUACAUUCUCGACUCUUAAAAAGAGCGACCUGAUAAUCUAUCUCCGCUAUGUUCUUAGUAAACAAGCAGCAUAUUGUCAAAUGUCAUUACUAUUACGCUGACCACCAGGUUGUGAGGCUUUCACAAUGGAUGUUUUUCAUUUAGAUUCUCGGCUAUUAAAAAGAGCGACCAAACAACCAAAAUUAGACAGGUGCACGUAGCUUAACCGCCUUAACCAUCAUUGAAACUAUAUCCGUCACAUUGAAAAUGCGUAUGUCAAAAACCCAUGCAACAUAGUCUUACCCAGGGUUUCGAUCUAGUGGUAAGAACAGACUUGUGAAUUAGGCGCACGUGACACGUUUGAACCCUGCAACUAGCAAAAUCGUUACACUUAAGUGGAAAAGUAUUUUUCCAGGACUUCUCCACUUCUAACAUUUCUUUUUUGAAUUGGAAAAGAAUACCUGGAUCUCUUAAGAUUCACUUCAUCUUAUGAUUCUUUUCUCAUAAAACAAGCAAGUAGAGUAGUCAAUUACUUAAGAAACGAACAAAACAUGACUACAGAACAAAGAAAAUCUUGUAGCCAACUCAAAUAAGCUACAGAGGAAACUUAUCGAAAUAAUAAUGGCGAUCAUUGCUCCUAUAUAUUAACCUGACUCAACAUAUAUAUGCUCCUCGCGGAACUACAAAAUCCAAACUGAAAACCAGCAGCACAUUUCCAACUAAUUGAAUUUGAAUUCAAGAAUAGAGAAGAAAAGGUUGAUAGAAGGAUACAGAGUAAAAUGCUCCGAAAAAGGUCUUUUACCAUUGUUGCACUAAACACAACAUAUUCCUCUACUGGCACUAAAACAACCCAUACAAAAUUGCAGGUACUGAGUUUAGCAAGGAUUUUUUGAUGAGCAGCGUAAAGAAACAUAAUAGAAUUAAAGCCUCAAUCGUAUCGGAGAGGCAGUGGCAUAUUUGAUUUGAGAGAGGAAAACUCCGAUCGUACAUCAUAUAGCUUACUCUAAAAUAAGGCAUCUUCAAUGAAUGAAAUUAAAAACCAUGACCAUAUUUUACAAUAAGAACUCAUAUUAAUUUUGAAACAAGAUGUUGAUCACAUAUCUAUCGUUCAAGAAAAAAAAAAGGGCAACCCGGUGCACUCAAGCUACCGCUAUGCGCGGUGUCCGGGGAAGGGCCCCACCAAAAGGGUGUAUCGUACGCAGCCUUACCUUGCAUUUUUGCCAAAGGCUGUUUCUAAGGCUUGAACCCGUGACCUCUUGGUCACAUGGAAGCAACUUUACCAGUUACUCCAAGGCUCCCCUUCCUAUCGUUCAAGAACAUUAUACAAAAAAAUUGAAGAACUACAAGCCAGUGAACAUGUCAAGGUUGUAACAUAGACUCGAGUCUCUAUGUAAGUUAUGUAGGAAGUUUCAGAUCACAAGGCCUGUUCUUUCACCAAAGCGACGUUACUUCUUACUAACACAUGAUAUUAUCUAUAGUAGCUUUCUCAUUCAUGGAAUGUGGGAUUCUUUAACCAAAGCAAUAGUACUUCUUUGUAACACGCAAUAUUAUCAAUAGUAGCUUGCUCUUGUAGCAUCUUUAUCAACUUCCAACGCCAAAUUGUAUGACUAACACAUAAGGCAGCUGCGACAUACUCGACUUUACAAGUUAAGAAAGGAACCGAAAAAAGAAAAAGAGAAAAAACAAGCGAAUAUAAUCAUAGGUUGCUUCUUAAGCACCAAAGUGAAUGUCAUUUCUCCAAAAGAAAAGAUUGUUGUGUAAAUCAUCGUAGCUAUGCGUAGGGUUGGGGCAAGAGGACCAGACCACAGGGGUGAGUAAGAAAGUGUGUAUAAUACUACGUUAAAAAAAGUUUUACUUGUGAAGAAGCUUGUGCUUCUUUUGCAGAAAUAAGGACAAAUAGUUUGAUUCGAUAUUUUCAAGGACAAAUAGUUUGAUUCGAUAUUUUCAAGGAAUCAACUAAGGAAAACUCAUUUUUCGUAUAUCGAAAACAAGAACUACUCAUAUGUUAGUUAAAACAAAAUUUGGAUUGUACAUAUUUGGAUCCAUUUUCUUUUCAUUUUUUCCUUAUUUUUUUGGAUUUUGGGAUUAAUAAAUAUUUCAAAUUAUUAUCUUGUGUUUCCUUUAUUAUAUUAUCAUCGAAAUAUUUUGGAUACGAGUAAAGUUGUUGUCAUGUGAGCUGCCCCUUGAAAAAAUGUAAGUUGAGGUUGCGUAAAAUAGAUCCUUGUGAUCAGCCCUUCCCCGAACACUGCACAUCGCGGGAGCUUAGUGCACUGGGCUGCCCUUUUUUGUUUUAAGAAAUAUUCUGGAUGCCAUAAAAACAUUUGCCUUUGAUAAAAAAGAAAAGCUAAUGCAUUUAAUUUGUUGUUUUUUUUAAUUGGAAGCAAGGAAUUUGUUCAACUUUUUUCACAGGGCCAUCAACAACAGUUAAUAGUAAACUCUGUCUACCAAUGCUAGAACAGAUCGGAAGAAAUCACCCUAGCGUUUAGCUUAUAGUGAAAAUUGAAUCCGAGACUUCACAGUGCACAACAAACUUCAUUGAACACUAGGCGACACCUUUGGAUGCUCCUAGGCGACAUCUUUGAAUUAAUAUUGUAAUUGUUUCUUUCAUCCAGAGAAAGCAAUCCUGCUAGAGAUGUUAGUGGUGGUGGAACCACACGUAGAGUCGGAGGGUAAUGAUCAUGAAGACAGAGCUAGUCGAGAUGAAAAAUUAGUCGAAAAAAUUAUGAAGACAACUCAAAUACAUUUAGUUGUGGCAACUAUCAAUUAAUGACACACUAAUAUUAACCAUUAUAUUGAAAUAAAGAAUAAUAUUAGAGUGCUCUUCUUGAUGAAUCUCCAAAAUAGAAAACUAAGUACCACUUUUUUCCUUUGACCCAAAGAAAGGCAUUUGUUACCUAAACUUAGCCUUCAUCAUAAGAAAGGGAUAACUUCUUUUUUGGGUUUUAUGUUUUAUAAUUUCAUUUGAGAUAAGCAUCUAGUACUCCUUGAACUAUGACCAAAGUUGCUACGACACACCCAACUUGUACGACCCGAACCGGGGCCCUGGCAAUGACGAGCAUUCCCGAACCCGAAGGCCCGAAAUGCCCUCUGUCUAUCUGGUAAUCAUGCUCAUAAUUCAUAUGAUCAAAGUAAUACGGAAUAGACACAAUAAUACGGAAACAUGGUCAACAAUUUAAGACAGUUAAAGGCCUGAAAACAUGCUCAACAAUAUUUAAUAAACAUCUGCAACAGUCUGCGAAAUCUCUACUGACAUACUAUCUGAAUAACUGGGACAAGGCCCCAGCAAACCAAAAACCAUACUGAAAUAAAUACCUAAAUGACUAGGCCUUCCGAAGCAAAGAAGGCUCACCAACUGAACUCUGAGACAACACUGUCUGUAGACUCUACUGAGGAUCUAGACCUCUAAACUACGCCUCAUUACCUGGGAGUAAGGGGGGUCAGCACAAUUGUACUGGCACGCGAAGAAAUCCAAAAUAGAGUAAUUGAACAUAUAUAUAUAUAUGUAUAUAUAUAUAUAUAUAUAUUUAUAAUACGUGAGAGCAAAUGUUCAUCAAACAUUAUGCAUAAAACAAUUUCUGAAAAAUACAUGGGUACCUGUCUGUAAAUCUCAAACUCUGAUCUGUGUAUUACUUUUGAGUUGGGUGGUAUCCCCUACAAGUCUGAUAUUCCACGGGCAAUAUGGAAUCCGCCAUUGACUCGGCGGGGAAGCCUCCAACCCGAGUAUGCCGCAAGGGUUGGAGUUCGUGAAUCUGAUACGCCACACGACACUUAAGUCAGCGUAUAAUAAUAUACUCGGCAAACCAUGAUUUUAGGCAAUGAGUUGCUUGAACUCAAUCCCUCUUCAGGGAACCACCUAACAUCUCUGUAUGCCCAUUUUUAACCUUUUCUAUANNNNNNNNNNNNNNNNNNNNNNNNNNNNNNNNNNNNNNNNNNNNNNNNNNNNNNNNNNNNNNNNNNNNNNNNNNNNNNNNNNNNNNNNNNNNNNNNNNNNNNNNNNNNNNNNNNNNNNNNNNNNNNNNNNNNNNNNNNNNNNNNNNNNNNNNNNNNNNNNNNNNNNNNNNNNNNNNNNNNNNNNNNNNNNNNNNNNNNNNNNNNNNNNNNNNNNNNNNNNNNNNNNNNNNNNNNNNNNNNNNNNNNNNNNNNNNNNNNNNNNNNNNNNNNNNNNNNNNNNNNNNNNNNNNNNNNNNNNNNNNNNNNNNNNNNNNNNNNNNNNNNNNNNNNNNNNNNNNNNNNNNNNNNNNNNNNNNNNNNNNNNNNNNNNNNNNNNNNNNNNNNNNNNNNNNNNNNNNNNNNNNNNNNNNNNNNNNNNNNNNNNNNNNNNNNNNNNNNNNNNNNNNNNNNNNNNNNNNNNNNNNNNNNNNNNNNNNNNNNNNNNNNNNNNNNNNNNNNNNNNNNNNNNNNNNNNNNNNNNNNNNNNNNNNNNNNNNNNNNNNNNNNNNNNNNNNNNNNNNNNNNNNNNNNNNNNNNNNNNNNNNNNNNNNAUGCGCCGCAUAUGAUAUCGCAUAUAUUUACAUAGUCGCCGCAUAUGAUAUCGCCUAUAUUUACAUAGGCUCCGCAUAUGAUAUCGCCUAUAGUUAUGCUUUCCAGUGGCCAUGUACGAUUGGUUAGGCGACGCAUACUAGUUUGAAAGGCCAUAAAUUCUUGUCGGGUGUCGGAUUUUAGCAAAAUUGGUAUCGUUGGAAAGUUAACUCGAAGACCUAUCAUUUGACAUAUAGUAGGCUCUCUAAUUCCACAUAUACAGAGAGCUAUGGUCGAUGGAAACUGACACAAAUUACAACAUCCACUAAAACUUAAUCGAUAGAAAUAGUUUCAACUCGUCCUUGAGUUGAAGGACCUCUAUGGUCUAAAUUCAUGCUCAAAUGGAUUCGCAUACUACAUAAACAUGUCAAAUUGGCAUAGGAUUUAAGGCUCUGGGAUUAUCAACGCAUUAGAGUCAUGGUUUUUCUUCUAGCCCAAAAUGCGGGGUGUUACAUUAUCUCCCCCUUGGGAUCAUUCGUCCCCGAAUGAUGGAUAGAAUGUCGAAGUCUUAAGGGUAUGGGAUAACGCGGACAUGAUAUGUUCCCUAAGAAAGAAUACACUGAUCGGAAACAUGACUACAAGAUUGGAACUACUGAUGUUUUAAAUGCUUAUGCCGGACAUGCAUAACCGAGGCAUGGAACACACGACUGAAGCUACUCAUAGGCUGAAUUCUCAUAAUGAAUCAUGCAUAUCUGAUGCAUGGAUCUGUGACCGAGUUGUUCUCAUGAAUGCAGGACUGAAUACACUGCUAAGCUGAACUUUUCUAUUGAACAUGCAUUUCUAAUGCAUACAUAUCUGACUGAACUGACGUAUGAACGUAUGGCUAUAUACGCAAUAAUAACUGAUGCGAAGCUUGUAAUAAGAAUCUAUGCAUGCAACUUAAUGGGGUAUCUACCCCUUGGUACCCUAUGUCCCUCUAUGAAUGCUCAAUUCACUAAGAUACUCAGAAAACUGAGGCGAUGCACAGGGCGCCUAUGAAUUAUACUCUAUCUUGGAAUAGUAGCAUGUUUGAGAUUUUGAGUAGCAUGAAUAUGUGCAAAGACGAGAGAACAAGUCAUGCGAAUCUAACUACUAAACUGACUUAUUGGCCAUAUAGACUGAAUUAUACUACAUCCUCAUACUUAACUGGAGUAUCUCUUCAUCACAAUUCUCUAAAGAAAUUCUAGUAGUAAUAGGGAGCCAUGAAUCUUGGGUCUGGAUUACAUAAGACAUCCAACUGAGGAAUCACUACAUUGACACUACUCUGUAGUCUGGAACAUAGGCAUAUAACUCCUGAAUUAGGAUAGAAUUACCAGGCCUUUGGCUUUACAACUUCUUACUUUCAAGCUUAUCACACUUCUCGAAUAUCACUUAACUAUACUAUUCUCCUUAAAUAUCAUAUUCAUUCAACUCAGCUUAAAAUUCUCAUAUGAUCAUUGACAAAUCUUUCUACUAAUGUCGGAAAUAACUUAAUCCCUUCACCGUGAUCAAGCCUAACUCUAAGUCACAAAAAUACAACAUGCCAGACCACGCUAUUAUUCUAAACCAUAUGAUNNNNNNNNNNNNNNNNNNNNNNNNNNNNNNNNNNNNNNNNNNNNNNNNNNNNNNNNNNNNNNNNNNNNNNNNNNNNNNNNNNNNNNNNNNNNNNNNNNNNNNNNNNNNNNNNNNNNNNNNNNNNNNNNNNNNNNNNNNNNNNNNNNNNNNNNNNNNNNNNNNNNNNNNACAUAUUCUCUAAACCACUAUCAAUAUCACUCCCACGAGCUACCCCAAGAACAUACACAUACAAAAUUCCACUAACCAUCACAUAAAUAAAAACUUGGCUCCAAAUCUUACUUCAUACUUAUGGCCUUAUCUAAACAAGCGUACUAUGAUCUUCCAUCAACAAGGAAUAAUUACUCACCACCACUAUCAUCGCACAAGGAGGAGUCACAAAAAGGUUAGAACAUAAGAUCUGGAGGCAUAGAAUGAUACAAUGUGAAGCUUGACAUUCAUCUGAGGCCUGAGGAAUAGCAAAACAACAACAGGGACACACCAAAGCGCUCUGAAUUUAGGGUAUUCGUGCCUAUAAGAUGAAUCUCGCCAAUCAUUUGGCGUAAAACAUGAGUUAUGAAAAUGGAGCACAUUAUAAAGCAUGAGUACAUGUGUUACGAACCAAACCAGGGCCUGGCCGUGACAAGCAUUUUGAACCAUUGAGGCCCGAAACACCCCUAUCUGUCUGGUAAUCAUGUACCUAAUUCAUAUGAUCAAAGAAAUGCAGAAAAAAACAACAAUUUGGAAACAUGGUCAUAAAUAUGAAAAGAGACAAUAACGGGGAGAUAAUGUUCCCUCAACAUUAAUUAUCCUCUGAACAACUAUCGAAAAUCUCUAACAAAUGACUGAAACAAUGUCUAUCUGAAAACUGGGACAAGGCCCCCAGUAGACCCAAAAACUGAAUAUAAGAUAAAAGAACUGCAGGACAUAAGACCUUCCGAAAUAUAGAAGGCUCGCCACUUGUCUCUACAGCUCUGUCUGAAAGUUCUACUGAUUCUCUUGACCCCUAGACUGGGCCUCUUAACCUGAGAGGUUGGAGAGGGGAGGAGGUCAGCACAAAACUACUGGCAUAUAGAGAUAUCAAAACAAAACAUAAUAUUUUUACAAAGUAUAGUUGAGAGCCAUUAUAAAGCAAUUUCGUAUCAAAUCAUUUGAUAACACAUGGGCAUAAUGCAAUAGUUUCUCAACAACAAUGAAAUGCAACUGAGCUAGGUGGAAUACCCUACAUAAUUUACACCAACUGUCAAACCUCAUUGAGAUUUGAGUAUAAGUGAGGGAGAGACACAUAAGAUCACAUAGCAUAGUGUCUCGACCCAAUGGUAGUGCCCAAGAUCACUUAGCUCGGGCUCCUACCUAUAGUCCAAAUUUGGGAAUGACAUAAAGUCAAGUACACAAGAUCACUUAGCCUGGUACCAAUAUUCCGUGCUGGCAAACACAUUUUUCCAGUAAUGAGCCCUUGUGUCUCAAACGCCUUCUUCGGACAUCCACUUAUAUCAUGUAAAAUCAAUGUAUUGAAACUUUAUUUGAUUCAAUCAUGUAUCGUAUUCUGUAGGGUAUCGUCAUACCUGACUUGCAAGUCAUCAAUAUCACAUCCACAUAUGCAUAAUCAUGUAAAAACCAAGGUGCUUCAUUAUUUACAAGUGGUGAAAAAUAAUUAUUUCAAAUUCAUGCUCUCUUUUGUUGAUCGCAAUAUAAUAUGGAGUAUCGAAACAUUAUCAUGGGAAUUUGAAAAUAAUUUAUUAUUCACAUUUAUGAAACUUCCGUGGAAAAUCUCAAAUCACAUAUGCAUGGUUUCAACCAUUGAAGUAUAUAGGCAAACAAUUCCCACGACAUAAAGAAAAAUGACUUAGAAAUCAUAUUGAAAGCAAGUUAUUAGCAUUUGAUUGAAAACCCCCAUUUAAAAGCAUGCAUGUUCAUAAANNNNNNNNNNNNNNNNNNNNNNNNNNNNNNNNNNNNNNNNNNNNNNNNNNNNNNNNNNNNNNNNNNNNNNNNNNNNNNNNNNNNNNNNNNNNNNNNNNNNNNNNNNNNNNNNNNNNNNNNNNNNNNNNNNNNNNNNNNNNNNNNNNNNNNNNNNNNNNNNNNNNNNNNNNNNNNNNNNNNNNNNNNNNNNNNNNNNNNNNNNNNNNNNNNNNNNNNNNNNNNNNNNNNNNNNNNNNNNNNNNNNNNNNNNNNNNNNNNNNNNNNNNNNNNNNNNNNNNNNNNNUAUUUCCAAGGAUAAUAGAUGUUUCUUGAAGCUUGCAGAUUGGUGAUUCCGAAUAUGUAAUUAUCUUUGAAAACCUACGGUCAAAUCUUGAACUAUUUGGGUUUUUAUUUUGAAACCCUAAGGAGAAUCUUGAGCACUUUUGAUGAAAGAAUAUGUAUUUUGGGGUCCUUGGAACUAAAUCUCGUGUUUUAGGGCUAAGUAAGGGUUGAAAAGGACCACUUUGUCCUCAACACGGAGUGUUUAAAUCACCAGAAUUCCUUACAUAGGCGCUGCCCAUCUCGUUGCCUAUGUUCACAUAGGCGCCGCCUAGGCUAUCGCCUAUGUUUACAUAGGCGCCGCCUAGGCUGUUGCCUAUGUUUUCCAGUGGCCAUGGGCGAUUGGUUAGGCAACGCUUAUCACUUUAAAGGGCCAUAACUUCUUGCUCGGGUGUCGGAUUUUCUCCAAAUUAGUAUCAUUGGAAAGCUAACUCGAAUACCUAUCAUUUGACCCAUAGUAGGCUUCAUAAUUCAACAUAUACAGAGAGUUAUGGUCAAUGGAAGCUGACACACUUUACAACGUCUACUAAAACUUAGUCGAUUGAAAUAGUUCCAACUCGUCCCUGAGUUGAAGGACCUCUAUGGUCUAAAUUCAAGCUUGAGCAGAUUCACAUGCUACACAAUAAUUAACAAGCCGUAUUGGCAUAGGAUUUUAUGGCUUCGGGAUUAGCAACGCAUCAAAAUCAUGGUCUAUAUUGUAGCCCGAAUUGCGGGGCAUUACAUUAUCCCCCCUUAGGAUCAUUCGUCCCCAAAUGAUGAUGCGGGACACAGAUAGACACAAUUUCAAGCAUAAUAAAGGACUAGGAAAGAUAUGAUAGGAAUAGUACUUUUUUUCUUCUCCUCCAUCGAAGCAAACAAAUUGGGAUAUCUGAGCUCCCAAGUUGCUUCUUCGACUAUCUAAUUCCUCCACAGUACCUUUACUGAGGGUAUCUCUUUGCUCCUCAGCUUUCGAACUUGGCGAUCUAAAAUUUCAAUGGGCUCUUCUUUGUAAGACAAGGAGUCUUUCACUUUGAUGCCCUAUACUGGCAAUACCAUAGAAUAAUCUCCAAUGCAUUUCCUCAACAUGGAUACAUGGAAUACCGAAUGAACGGAACCCAAACUUGCAGGCAAUUCUAACUCAUAUGCAACUGUACCAAUCUUUUUCAAAAUCUGAUAUGGCCCUAUAUAACGAGGGCUCAAUUUACCCCUUUUUCCAAAAUGCAUAACUCCUUUCAUAGGAGAAACCUUGAAAAACACCCAAUCACCAAUUUCAAACUCUAGUUCUCUUCUCCGAACAUCGGCAUAGAACUUCAAAUGACUCUGAGCAGUCUUGAGUCGUUCUCUAAUGAUUUUUACUUUCUCCAUCGCCUGAUGAACAAGAUCAGGCCCAUACAACUGAGUCUCACCCACUUCAUACCAUCCUAUCAGAGACCUACAUCUCCUCCUAUACAAGGCCUCAAAAAGAGCCAUCUUGAUGCUGGUAUGGUAGCUAUUAUUAUAGGCGAAUUCAACCAGUGGCAGGUGAUCUACCCAACUACCUUUGAAAUCAAUGAUGCAUUCCCUCAAUAUAUCUUCGAGGGUCUGAAUGGUACGCUCAUCUUGCCCAUCCAUCUAAGGGUGGAAAGUUGUGCUCAAAUUCACUUGUGUACCUAAACCCUUCUGAAAGGAUCUCCAAAACUGAGAUAAAAAUUACGUACCUCUGUCGGAUAUAAUGGGUACUGGUGCCCCAUGCAAUCGAACUAUCUCCUCAAUGUAAAUCUUAGCAUAAACCUCUCCCGAAUAAUUAGUCCUCACAGGCAAAAAGUGGGUUGACUUGGUCAAUCGAUCUACAAUCACCCAUAUAGAAUCAUACUGGUUUCGGGAUCUCGAAAGUCCUAUAAUGAAGUCCAUAUUUAUCAUCUCCCACUUUUAUAAAGGCUGGACUAUCUCUUGGGAAGUACCACCCGGCCUCACUUGUCCUUCAAUUUCUCAAAACUAUUUUCACACAAGUCAGACCACACAAACUUUAUCUUUUUCUGAGUCAGUUUAGUAAGCGGAGCAGCUAUGGAAGAAAAACUCUCUAUGAACCUUCUGUAAUACCCCGCCAAACCCAAGAAGCUCUGAAUAUCGGUUGGAGUCAUGGAUCUGGGCCAUUUUCUUACUACUUCAACUUUCUGGGGAUCCACUCUUAUCCCGUCACUAGACACAAUAUGCCCUAGGAAGGCAAUAGCGUCUAACCAGAAUUCACACUUUGAAAAUUUGGCAUACAGCUGAUGAUCCUUAAGGGUCUACAGGAUAAUUCGGAGGUGAUUGGUGUGAUCCUCUUUACUCUUAGAAUAGUUCAGAAUAUCAUCAAUAAAUACAAUGACGAACAAGUCAAGAAACUGACGGAACACAUACAACCUUUGGAGAAAAGCUUUCGGGCUCUAAGAUAAGAGAUAAAGUGACCGUGACCAUAUCGGGUUCGAAAGGCUGUCUUGGGUAUGUCUGACUCCCUAACUUUCAACUGAUGAUAACCCGAAUGAAGGUCUAUGUUUAAAAAAUACUUGGCACCCUGAAGCUGGUCAAAAAGGUCAUCAAACCUAGGAAUAGCAUAUUUAUUUUUAAUCGUGACCUUAUUCAGCUGACGGUAGUCUAUGCCCUUCCGAAGGGACCCAUCCUUCUUUCGCACGAAGAGCAUGAGUGCACCCCAUGGGGAAACACUAGGACGAAUAAAACCUUUGUCUAGGAGGUCUGUAAGCUAUUCCUUUAACUCCUUUAGCUCCGCAGGAGCCAUUCUAUAUGGUGGAAUAGAAAUAGAUGAGUUUAUGGCAACACAUCAAUGCCAAAAUUAUCUCCCUAUCAGGGGGUAUCCCUGGGAGAUCUUCGGGAAAGAAUUUUGGGAAUUCAUUCACUACAAGGACUGACCGCAGAGAAAGGUUUCCAACUUUUGAAUCUUUUACUUGGAUUAGAUAAUACAUACAACCUUUGGAGAUAAGCUUUCGGGCUCUAAGAUAAGAGAUAAAGUGACCUCUAGGUUCCACAGAACUCCCUACCCAAACAACUGGUGUCUCAUUCGAGAAAGAAAAAGUGACCUUUCGGGUUCUGCAAUCAAGGGUGGCAUAACACGAAUGGAGCCAGUCCAUCCCAAGGAUGGCAUCAAAGUCUAUCAUAUCNNNNNNNNNNNNNNNNNNNNNNNNNNNNNNNNNNNNNNNNNNNNNNNNNNNNNNNNNNNNNNNNNNNNNNNNNNNNNNNNNNNNNNNNNNNNNNNNNNNNNNNNNNNNNNNNNNNNNNNNNNNNNNNNNNNNNNNNNNNNNNNNNNNNNNNNNNNNNNNNNNNNNNNNNNNNNNNNNNNNNNNNNNNNNNNNNNNNNNNNNNNNNNNNNNNNNNNNNNNNNNNNNNNNNNNNNNNNNNNNNNNNNNNNNNNNNNNNNNNNNNNNNNNNNNNNNNNNNNNNNNNNNNNNNNNNNNNNNNNNNNNNNNNNNNNNNNNNNNCUGUGGAGGCGGCUUGGGACUCCCCGCAUUUACUCCAGCAGAUGGACAAUCUCUUUGAAGGUAACCCACUUUGUCACAAGUAUAGCAGUUUCUUCCCUCAAACCAGCACUUCCCUGAAUGAUUCCUUCCGCAAACCUCACACCGCGGACAAGUACAAUGCUACUGGGCCACACUUCCCUGAGACUGUGUACCUAGAGCUUUGGACCCAUGAGGAGUCUGAAAAUUCCGAGUUUGUCUAUCUGUUGGUGGUCUGGGUGCUGGGGUGCUGGCUGCUAACUAUGCAUUAUUCCAAAACUUCUUCUUUUUCGACCACUUAUUACCCCAGUUACCAUUCUGCGGCUGACUCUGGUGUUGGUCCGUAGAUCUAUCUCUCUUAGCCUGUCUGUCUUCCACUCUAGAUUCAGCAAUAUUUUUCUUCUUCUCUUCCACUUAAUGCAUAUGAACGGUCAGUCGAGCAAAGUCUAACUCCUUAUUCAACAUAGCCCCCUGGAACUCAAGUACCAGGUCAUCAGCAAGGCCAGAUGCAAACUUCCUCAUCCGGGCCUUCAUAUUACUAGUCAACUCUAGUGCAUAGCGGUCUAGUUUAUUAAACUUCAAAGUGUACUCCUAGACACUCAUACUUCCCUUCUUCAGAUUCAUAAACUCUUCCGCUUUGGCCUUCCUCAACUCUAGAGGAAAGAAUCAAUCAAAGAAGGCUUCCAAAAAUUCACCCCAAACUGUGGGCUCAUCACUUUCACCUUUUUCAUCUUCCCAAUCGGCAUACCACUGACUCGCAACAUCCUUGAGCUGAUAGGUUUCUAGCUCCACCCCUUCAACCUCAUCCACAUGCAUCACCUUAAAGAUCUUUUCCAUCUCAUCCACGAACUCCUGUGGAUCUUCCUUCACCUUGGUGCCAGUGAACUUAGGUGGGUUCAUCUUCAUGAAAUGUCCGACUCUAGUAGCCUUAGAUGUAAUAGAUGCAGACCCAACAUCUUCCGAUCGUUGGGAAUGGUUGGCUACCAACUGUGUCAGCAUAUGAAUAGACCGUCUGAAUUCUGCAUUUGAAAUAUCUCCCUAAGCAGUUGGGGGACGGUUGACAUUAGUCCACAGAGCUCGAGGUGGACCGGUCGGGACUGGAGGGACUCCCGAAGUAGGGAAAAAUUCUGGAGUGUGAGCCCUAUUAUGGGUCCGCAUCCCAUGGGUGGGAUGGACCUCAUCUACCUGAGCAUUCUGAUCGAUGAUACAACAUGGAGGCAUAACUAUGAUUCUAAAACACAAGUGAUCAUUGAUUAGGGGACAGUUCAGACUCUGAAGCACGAACUAAAUCACAAAGAUGGGAAACAUUUCCUAAAUACCUAUCAGCCUCCUGCUUAUAAGUGUGGCAUGCUACACACCCAUAAACAAGACUCUACCUUACGUGAUUUCGCAGACACCCUGGGACCAUGAACCGUGCUUUGAUACCAAGUUUUUCACGACCCAAACCAGGGCCUGGUCGUGACGAGCAUUUCGAACAAUUAAGGCCCGAAACACCCCUAUCUGUCUAGUAUUCAUGCACCUAAUUCAUAUGAUCAAAGAAAUGCGGAAAAAACACAAUAAUUCAGAAACAUGGUCAUAAAUAUAAAAAGAGACAAUAACAGAGAGAUAAUGUUCCCUCAACAUCAAUUAUCCUCUGAACAACUGUCUGCGAAAAUCUCAAACAAAUGUCUGAAACAAUGUCUAUCUGAAAACUGGGACAAGGCCCCAUUAGACCCAAAAAUUGAAUAUAAGAUAAAAGGACUACAGGACAUAAGACCUUCCGAAACAUAGAAGGCUCACCACUUAUCUCUAGAGCUCUGUCUGAAAGUUCUACUGAUUCUCUUGACCCCUAGAUUGGGCCUCUGAACCUGAGAGGUUGGAGAGGGGAGGGGGUCAGCACAAAAGUACUGGCAUGCAGAGAUAUCAAAAUAAAACAUAAUAUUUUUACAAAGUAUAGUUAAGAGCCAUUAUAAAGCAAUUUCGUAUCAAAUCAUUUGAAAGCACAUGGGUGUAAUGCAGUAGUUUAUCUCAACAAUAAUGAAAUGUAACUGAGCUAGGUGGAAUACCCUACAUAAUUUACACCAAUUGUCAAACCUCGGUUGCCGCCGAGAUUAGAGUAUAAGUGAGGGAGAGACACAAAAGACCACACAGCAUGGUGUCUCGACCCAAUGGUAGUGCCCAAGAUCACUUGUCUCGAGCUCCUACCUAUAGUCCAAAUUUGGGAAUGACAUAAAGUCAAGUACACAAGAUCACUUAGCCUGGUACCAAAUUCCCGUGUCGGCAAACACGUUCUUCCAGCGACGAGCCCUUGUGUCUCAAACGCCUUCUUCAGGCAUCCACCUAUCUCAUAUAAAAUCAAUGCAUUCAAACUUCAUUUGAUUCAAUCAUGUAUCGUAUAUUGUAGGGUAUCGUCAUACCUGACUUGCAAGUUAUCAAUAUCACAUCCACAUAUGCAUAAUCAUGUAAAAACCAAGGUGCUUCAUCAUUUACAAGUGGUGAACGAUAAUUAUUUCAAAUUCAUGCUCUCUUUUAUUGGUCACAAUAUGAUAUGGGGUAUCAAGACAUUAUCAUGGGAAUUUGAAAGCAAUUUAUCAUUCAUAUUUAUCAAACUUCCAUGGAAAAUCUCAAAUCACAUAUGCAUGGUUUCAACCAUUGAAGUAUAUAGGCAAACAAUUCCCAUGACAUAAAGAAAAAUGACUUAGAAAUCAUAUUGAAAGCAAGUUAUUAGCAUUUGAUUGAAAACCCCCAUUUAAAAGCAUGCAUGUUCAUAAAAACUACACCCAUGAGAUUUUAGGAAAAUCCCACGUACCUCGAUUACUAUGAAUAUUAGNNNNNNNNNNNNNNNNNNNNNNNNNNNNNNUCCAAAUAUGUAAUUAUCUUUGAAAACCUACGGUCAAAUCUUGAACUAUUUGGGUUUUUAUUUGAAACCCUAAGGAGAAUCUUGAGAACUUUUGAUGAAAGAAUAUGUAUUUUGGGGUCCUUGGAACUAAAUCUCGUGUUUUAGGGCUAAGGGUUGAAAAGGACCACUUUGUCCUCAACUCGGAGUGUUUAAAUCACCAGAAUUCCUUACAUAGGCGUCGCCCAUCCUGUUGCUUAUGUUCACAUAGGUGCCGCCUAGGCUAUCGCCUAUGUUUGCAUAGGCGCCGCCUAGGCUAUCGCCUAUGUUUACAUAGCUGCUGCCUAGGCUAUUGCCUAUGUUUUCCAGUGGCCAUGGGCGAAUUGUUAGGCGACGCUUAUCACUUUGAAGGGCCAUAACUUCUUACUCGGGUGUUGGAUUUUUGCCAAAUUGGUAUCGUUGGAAAGCUAACUCAAAUACCUAUCAUUUGACCCUUAGUAGGCUUCCUAAUUUGACAUAUACAGAGUGUUAUGGUAGAUGGAAGCUGACACACUUUACAACAUCUACUAAAACUUAGUCGAUCAAAAUAGUUCCAACUCGUCCUUGAGUUGAAGGACCUCUAUGGUCUAAAUUCAAGCUUGAGCGGAUUCAUAUGCUACACAAUAAUUAACAUGCCGUAUUGGCAUAGGAUUUUAUGGCUUCGGUAUUAGCAACGCAUCGAAAUCAUGGUCUAUAUUGCAGCCCAAAUUGCAGGGUGUUACAACAUGACUCUCUAUCGUAUGUAUGAACGUGAACUGAUCAUGGAACUAAAUCGUAAAGCAUGAGUAGGUAUUAGGAUCACUGAGAAAUACUGAGAUAGGAAUGGGUUGAGAUUCACCCUUACUUUUUGAUGUUCUAUAUCAUCAUGACAUCACUAUAAGAAUCUGAGAGUCUUACUUGGUUAUUCAUUUAGUCAUCUCCCCCUUAGCUUCAAUCCAUCAUCUUAAGUUUUGGGAGGUACCUUACUAGACUUUAAACUUAACUGCACUCACUGCACUCUGGGUUCUGAAAUAUGACAAUACACAAAAUUAAUAAAACUUAACCCGAAAGACCACACAUGAGAGUGGAAUGCCCACUGCUAACACUACCUCCUGAGGCACACUCUAACACUUACUAACUUCGAAUCUUCAUGAGUAUCCCCAAAGUUGAAGUGUACACCCUCUAGUGCCUCUACUCUUAUUUCUAUUAGCACAACUUUCAAGGACUCGAGCUUAGAUUAUAACACCUAACAUGGGUAUCACCAAGUCUUCAAUGAGCCACUCUAUUGCUAGCAUAGUCUACCAACAUAGAAACUUUAAACUUAUUUUCCUCUACCAUGAGAAUCAAGCUCAUGUCAAAAGGCUCAACGCUAUCAAUCAAAGGUCCUUAACUUGGCUAUUUAGAACACCAUAUACCAUCUAGCUAGUCUUUUUCCAUCUAGCAACUCAACGGUACUAGUAGCCACACAUAACAUGUAACAGCCUUAGAAAAAUACUACAGCUUCAUACGACCUUGGGCAUACUUCUACAUCACAUAUACAAUGUCAUACUUCAUUACGAAUCAAAUAAACUUAGGCACUUGCAUACACUGUUCAAGCCUAUAGAUCACUUCCAUAUAACUAGUAUCAUUAACCAAGGAAUCAUCACAUCCACCUCCAUGGCCAUCAAUUGUUUCAAACUUAAUGUCUAGUGCUAAACAUGAUUUACAACCAACCUUACACACAAUCCUCACUUAGAAACUAUGAAAUAAACAUCAAGAAACACUAGUACACUAGAAAUUCAUAACCACAAUCACAAUAAUGGAUCAUGACCUUACAGUUUUCCUUGUCAUAAUCCAUCAGCACGUACUAUUUCAACACAUCAAGCUUACAAAUCAAAUCCCAUGAAACAUGUAUCAUCAAUCUCUUUCCACUAUUCANNNNNNNNNNNNNNNNNNNNNNNNNNNNNNNNNNNNNNNNNNNNNNNNNNNNAAAUAUACUAAUCCUUCAAAUUGGGAUAUUCUACCCAAAUACUUCAAAAAUAUACUACAUACUUUCUCACAAGUAGUAUUAGUUUACAACUACCAAUGAGAAGAAGGUUAAGGGGUAAGGUCACAUAAUAGACAUGAUCAACCUUAAGCUUAUAUUAUAACCAUACAAUCUUAUCUACUUAUACGGCUUUCUCAUAUCACACUUACUUACCCCAAUGGGAAUUUAGACUACCUUCAGAUACCCCAUAUGACAAUGAGUCUAUACUUAAAAUUUACUGGCUAAUCUAGCCAUUUUCAUUCAUAGCAUAUAAGGGGUUUCUAUAACCACCUUAAAUAUCCACUCUGGGCUCUUUAUCUAUUUUGAAAGGAAGAAAACAAAUAACAUUCUAAGUCAACACUUCCUCCAUGGACUACCAUACAAUCCAUAAAUGGUACCACCACGAAAGGGUAAAUCAUUCUCAAUCAACGGUUAUUCAACUAUAAUAUUUAAUCACAAAAGUCACCCUCACUCUGACCUCUAACCUUAUGACUUCAUAUCACAAACUUCUUGGUCUAAUUUCACUACCAAUAGGUCAUGACACCAACACUCUAACUUAUACUACUACUCGGGUGGAAAUACAGUUCCAACAAACACAAGAACAACAAGAUGAAUAGCAAGUUGCUAGUGAAUCGAAAUAGGCCUUCCGCGGCUUCACUAGACUUUUUUUUCAACAACACAACGAUAUCAAGAUUACAAGAGAUAGAAUCUUGAUACACAAUAUUCAAUGACUCAAGAAUACACAUCUUACUUUUGUCUUAAUUGAACGCCUCAUAAGAACGAGGACACAAUUUUACACUAGGGAACUACUCUCCCGUCCUUUGUGGGACUUCUAAAAUUUCUGCUAGAUAAUCAGAGAAUAUCUAGAAACACCAGAGUGAGGAAGAAAUUAGGAUAACUUUUCUUUUCGUAUGGGUGACACCAUAGCACGAAUUAAAGUAUGAAGGAGGAACAUUCUGACUCUAUAGCACGAACUAGAACAUGAAGAAAGAGAGACAUUCCUAAAUGCCUUGUAGCCUCCUGCUUAUAAGUGUGGCGCACUACACACCCAUAAAUAAUACUCUACCCGACGCGAUUUUGCAGACACCUUGGGACCUUGAACCGUGCUUUGAUACCAAGUUUGUCACGACCCAAACUGGGGCCCUACCCGUGAUGAGCAUUCCCAAACCCGAAGGCCCGGAACGCCCUCUGUCUAUCUGGUAAUCAUGCAUAUAAUUCAUAUGAUCAAAGUACUACGGAAUAGACACAAUAAUACAGAAACAUUGUCAACAAUUUAAAAUAGUUAAAGGCCUGAAAACAUGCUCAACAAUAUUUAAUAAACAUCUGCAAUAGUCUGCGAAAUCUCUACUGAUAUACUAUCUGAAUAACUGGGACAGGGCCCCCAGCAGACCAAAAACCAUACUGAAAUAAAUACCUAAAUGACUAGGCCUUCUGAAGCAAAGAAGGCUCACCAACUGAACUCUGAGACAACCCUGUCUGCAGACUCUACUAAGGAUCUAGACCCCUAGACUGCGCCUCAGUACCUGGGAGGAAGGGGGUCAGCACAAUUGUACUGGCCCCCCUACAAGUCUGAUAUUCCACGGAAGAUAUGGAAUCCUCCAUUGACUCAGCGGGGAAGCCUCCAACCUGAGUAUGCGCAAGUGUAACGCCCCAUAAAAGGCGUGCAUAGAUUAGUCUUUAAUAUUGAACUCUUAGACUUAAAGACUUAAAAUUUUCUAAGUGUAAAAUGAGACUGAGUCAUUUUAGCUGGCAAUCUUUGGGAUACAACUUUUCAACCUUCUCGACAUCCAUUUUUAGAUUUUCAAGUUGCGUUACGAUCGGUAAAGCUCAUAGUGCAUCUCGGAUAAGUUUUGGAAUUUCUCAGAACACAUAAGGCUGCGUUUGGAUUUCAAAAUAGUAGCAAAACGCAUAGCCUAUUGCGCAGUUUUCAGCAUUUUAGGGUCAACUUCAAACAAUCAUAACUCCCUGUAUAUAUGAACUGUGUGAGGUAUAAUAUAUCAAACAAAAUAUCUUUGAGUCCUAUUUCAAAUACAGUUGGUUUCAUCCAAUUUGAUUAUAUGAGUAACACGUUAUAGUCGAUUUACUCCAGAUAAUCAAACUGUCAACUGAGAGACAGAUUUGACCUUAAUUGUUCCUUAGGGGUAUUUUGGUCAUCCUUCACCCGUAUAUAUACCACCAACACGGGAUUUAAUACCUCAAACACCAAAAUAAACCUUCAUUCAUCAAAAUUUCUCAAGAACACUCCUUAGGGUUUCAAAAUAAAAACCCAAAUAGUUCAAGAUUCGACUGUAGGUUUUCGAAGAUAAUUACAUAUUCGGAAUCACAAAUCCACGAGCUUCAAGAAACAUCUAGUAUUUUAGGAAAUAGAGGUAUGGGUGUAGUUUUUAUGAACAUGCAUGCUUUUAAAUGGGGGUUUUCAAUCAAAUGCUAAUAACUUGCUUUCAAUAUAAUUUCUAAGUCAUUUUUCUUUAUGUCAUGGGAAUUGUUUGCCUAUAUACUUCAAUGGUUGAAACCAUGCAUAUGUUAUUUGAGAUUUUCCAUGGAAGUUUGAUAAAUACGAAUGAUAAAUUGCUUUCAAAUUCCCAUGAUAAUGUCUUGAUACCCCAUAUCAUAUUCUGACCAAAAAAAGAGAGUAUGAAUUUUAAAUAAUUAUUGUUCACCACUUGUAAAUGAUGAAGCACCUUUAUUUUACAUGAUUAUGCAUAUGUGGAUGUGAUAUUGAUGACUUACAAGUCGGGUAUGACGAUACCCUAUAGAAUAUAAUACGUGAUUGAAUUAAAUAAAGUUUGAAUGCAUUGAUUUUACAUGAGAUAGGUGGAUGCCCGAAGAAGGCGUUUGAGUGUAAGGGCUCAUCGCUGGAAAUUGUGUUUGCCAACAUGAGAAUUUGGUACUAGGCUAAGUGAUCUUGUGUACUUGACUUUAUUCUCAAAUUGGGACUAUAGGUAGGAGCCCGGGCUAAGUGAUCUUGGGCACUACCAUUGGGUCAAGACACCAUGCUUCAUGGUCUUGUGUGUCUCUCCCUUACUUAUACUCUAAUCUCAGAAGCAACCGAGGUUUGAUAGUUGGUGUAAAUUAUGUAGGGUAUUCCACCUAGCUCAGUUACAUUUCAUUGUUGUUGAGAAACUAUUGCAUUUUGCCCAAGUGUUUUCAAAUGAUUUGAUAUGAAAUUGCUUUAUAAUGGCUCUCAACUAUAUUUUGUAAAAAUAUUAUGUUUUGUUUUGAUAUCUCUGCGUGCCAGUACUUUUGUGCUGACCCCCUCCCCUCUUCAACCUCUCAGGUUCAGAGGCCCAGUCUAGGGGUCAAGAGAAUCAGUAGAUCAUUCAGACAGAGUUGCAGAGACAAGUGGUGAGCCUUCUAUGUUUUAGAAGGUAUUAUGUCCUGCAGUCCUUUUUAUCUUAUAUUUAGUUUUGGGGUCUACUGGGGGCCUUGUCUCAGUUUAUAUACAGUUACUUGACUCAAUCAUUUGUUAGAGAUUUCCGCAGACAGUUGUUUAGAGGUUGAUUGAUGUUGGGGGAACUUUAUUUCCCCGUUAUUGUUUCUUUUCAUAUUUAUGACCAUGUUCCCGAAUUAUUGUGUUUCUUUCACAUUACUUUGAUUAUAUGAAUUAGGUGCAUGAUUACCAGACAGAUAGGGGUGUUUUGGGCCUCCAUGGUUCGAAAUGCUCAUCACGAUCAGGCCCUGGUUUGGGUUGUGAUAAACUUGGUAUCAAAGCACGAUUCAUGGUCCUAGGGUGUCUGCAAAAUCGUGUCGGGUAGAGUCUUAUUUAUGGGUGUGUAGCGCGUCAUACUUAUAUGUAGGAGGCUACUAGGCGUUUAGGAAUGUCUCUCUUUCUUCAUGUUCUAGUUCGUGCAAUAGAGUCAGAAUAUUCCUCUUUCAUACAUUAAUUCGUGCUAUGGUGUCACCCAUACAAAAGUAAAAAGUCAUCCCACAUUCUUUCCUUACUCUACUGUCCUCAGAUAUGUCUCAUUAUUGAGGUGAUUCAAGUACAUAAGUUUAGAAUCUCAAUGGUAUGGUCCUUUCUGAUUGUACAAUAUAAGAUUUAAAAUUUGUGCAAGGACUUGAUAAGAGUCCGUUAGUGCUUCAAUGUGUAUUGAUUUUGAUGUAAACGUUGAUCCUGAUGGAAUCGUGCUUUUCAGCUUGAGGUAUUAAUUGCAUUUAAUCCCCUUCAAAUUUAUGUUACAAAUGUCUUGCUUAAGGGGGGAUGAUGUGUAGUAGAAUGUUGGUGUUAGCAGCUUAUUCUCUAUGUAUAUAUAGCCUACUCUUGUUUUAGUUAGUUUCAAGCUUUUCAGAUUAUAUUGUAAACCUUAGUCUUUCUUUCCUUCAAUAAAGUUCUAUUAACAUGGUAUCAGAGCUAGUUCGAUCCAUGUCCUUUGAUUUGUUGGUUGAAGAUUUUGUAGCAGGCACCUACUGCGCGGAUCGAUUCGUUGAGGUGCUGCUGUAUUCGUUUGCUAUUUUCGUUGGGUUUUUUGGUUGGAUUGAUUCGUUGCUGUCUUCGUUUGCUGUCUGGUAUUGUUCGUCUUUCGUUCUUUUGCUUGCUGCCAUUGUUGUUCGUUCGGAAUUGUUCAACCUAGGGUUUUGCAUCUUUUUGUUUUUUUGAAUUGUUUGUGUGUUGCUGUGUUUACAAUGACUGGAAAGGAUGAUUCUCUCCAGUCCAUUAGUACUCAAUUAGAUGGUAAGAACUAUGCCUAUUGGAGUUAUGUCAUGAAGAAUUUUCUUCGUGGGAAGAAUAUGUGGGGUUAUAUCACUGGAGUAAAACCAAGACCUAUCGAUGAUAAAACUGAAAAUUUUGAUUUGUUGGUGGACUUAUGGGAAACUAAUAACUCCAAGAUUAUCACUUGGAUCAACAAUUCUGUAACUCAGUCAAUUGGUAUGCAAUUGGCUAAGUAUGACACAGCAAAGGAGGUCUGGGAUCAUUUGGAAAGACUGUACACUCAGUCUAAUUUUGCUAAGCAGUACCAGUUGGAGUAUGAUAUCCGUGCUCUUCAACAGCAUGAUCUCAGUAUUCAAGAUUUUUAUGCUGCCAUGUCGGAUUUGUGGGAUCAAUUGGCACUUACUGAAUCUGCAGAGUUAAAAGGUUUUGGGCCGUACAUUGCUAGACGGGAAGAGCAACGCUUGGUUCAGUUUUUGAUGGCACUACGUUCUGACUUUGAGGGCCUACGUGGAACAAUCCUUCAUCGAUCUCCCCUCCCUACUGUUGAUUCUGUGGUUCAUGAACUGAUUGCAGAGGAGACUCGUAUCAAGUCUCAAGUGGAUAAAGGGUCUAAAGUAACUACUACUCCUGUCGUGUUUGCUGCUUCAACUGAUCAGUCUAGGCCACCACGUACUCAGACUCGACAAUCUCCUAAAGUUGCAUUUGAUGAGUGUGCAUUCUGCAAACAGAAAAAUCAUUGGAAGGCUCAGUGUCCGUUGUUACUUAACAAGGUCAAACAGCCUCAAUCUGGGCAGCAACAGAAAUAUGGGCAGCAAAAGUCUCCGUCACGCUCCUCUGGUGCUCCUCCAUGGUCAUCUCGUCCUCCACAGUUCGCUGCUGCUGCACCAUCUGUAGAUGUUGAGUCUGUUAGCACUAUGCCACCUUCUGCGUUGGAUCCCCAGGUUUUCGAACAGUUCAGACAGUUCUUCGUUUCUAAUCCUACGGCCAUGUCAGCAUCUAUGUCUCAUUCGGGUUCAGUUUCUUCUAGUACCUCAGGUAUUCCUUCCUCCUUGUGGAUAUUGGAUUCUGGUGCGUCUCAUCACAUGUCCCCUCAUUUGUCAUCGUUUGGUUCUUUGUCACCCAUUUCACCAAUCUCUGUUAUGUCCGCGAGUGCUGUACCUAUGUCAGUCGAGGGUGUUGGUUCUGUUACUACCCCUCACAUUGUCCUCUCUGAUGUUUAUUACAUUCCCAAACUUGCUUUAAAUCUUGUUUCGGUCAGUCAGUUGUGUAAGGCUGGUAAUUGGGUGUUUUUUUCUGAUUCUGUUUGUGUUAUACAGGACCAACACACUCAGAGGGUGAUUGGGACCGGCCGUAGGUUGGGGGAACUCUAUGUCUUGGAGAAUCUCAAAGUGUCUGUAGUUGCUGCCUCUAGCAUAGAUUUAUCUUCUUUUCGUUUGAGUCCUUUGUCUUCUCAGUUUUAUCUUUGGCAUUCCAGAUUAGGACAUGUGUCAGUUUCACGUUUACGUUUUUUGGUCUCUAGUGGUGCUUUGGGUCAUGUGAACACUAGUGAUAUUUCAGAUUGUAGUGGUUGUAAACUGGCAAAAUUUUCUGCCUUACCGUUUAAUAAAAGUGUGUCUUAUUCUGUUGCUCCUUUUGAUAUUAUUCAUUCUGAUGUAUGGGGACCAGCGCCAGUAUCCACUAAGGGUGGAUCGACCUAUUAUGUUUCGUUUAUAGAUGACUAUACUCGUUAUACCUGGGUGUAUCUUAUGAAACGCAGAUCUGAUUUCUUUGGCAUUUACAACAACUUUAGAGCCCUUGUUAAAACACAACAUUCGGCUGUGAUAAAGUGUUUCAGGUGUGACUUAGGGGGUGAAUAUACCUCUAAUGACUUCACUCAGUUACUUGCCUCUGAUGGUACCAUACACCAGUCAUCUUGUACCGACACUCCUGAGCAGAACGGUCUGGCAGAAAGAAAACAUCGUCAUAUUGUUGAGACAGCACGCUCUUUACUUUUGUCUGCAGAGGUUCCUAGUAUUUUUUGGGGAGAAGCAGUUCUAACUGCUGUAUAUGUGAUUAAUCGUAUUCCUACUGCAUUGACUUCAGGGAUGUCUCCGUUUGAGAAACUAUAUGGUCACCCGCCGAAUUAUUCUGCAUUACGAGUUUUUGGAUGUACUUGCUUUGUUCUUCGUCCUCAUGUUGAACGAAAUAAGUUAGGGUCAAAAUCAGCUAUAUGUGUGUUUUUGGGGUAUGGUAUUGGACAAAAAGGAUAUCGUUGCUAUGAUCCUGUAAGUCAGAAAUUAUAUGUUUCACGACAUGUCACUUUUUUGGAACAUAUUCCUUUUUAUUCCAUUCCAGCUAAAACCCAUGAUGUGACAAAGUCAGAUAUUCGGCUUAUUGAUCCCUUUGGGAUUGACAUAGAGGUUCCAGUUCCGGAUUCAUCCAUGCCAUCUGGUGUGCCACCUGAUAGUGCUUCAGCCUCGCCUGUGCCUGAGUCUGCUCCUUCGACUGUUGAGACUGGAGACCCACCACCUCUGAGGAGGUCUACUCGACCUUGUAAGUCCACCAAACUGCCAGAUUUUUACUAUUCUACAUAUUCAGCCUCAUUUGCUUCCUUUAUUGCAAACAUACAUCAUUUGUCUGAACCUGAGUCGUAUAGAGAGGCUGUGUCUGAUCCUCUUUGGCAGAAUGCUAUGGCUGAGGAACUUGCUGCUCUUCAUCAUACACAUACAUGGGAUUUGGUUACUCUCCCACCUGGUAAGCAUGCGAUUGGUUGUCGAUGGGUGUAUAAGAUAAAAACAAAAUCUGAUGGGUCUGUUGAGCGAUACAAGGCAAGACUUGUGGCAAAAGGGUAUUCACAACAAUAUGGUAUGGAUUAUGAGGAGACUUUUUCCCCCGUAGCAAAGAUGACGACUGUUCGCACUAUGAUUGCUGUUGCAUCCGUUCGACAGUGGAAGAUAUUUCAGAUGGAUGUCAAGAAUGCUUUUCUGAAUGGUGAUCUCCACGCGGAAGUUUAUAUGACUCCUCCCCCAGGUAUUGACCACCAGCCAGGUGAAGUUUGUCGGCUUCGAAAAGCUUUAUAUGGUCUCAAACAAGCCCCUCGUGCUUGGUUUGAGAAAUUCUCCACUGUUAUUACUUCCCUUGGAUUUGUCCCGAGUAACCAUGAUUCAGCAUUGUUUGUUAGAUGUACAAGUGCAGGGCGAAUUCUAUUGUCCUUAUAUGUAGAUGAUAUGAUUAUUACUGGUGAUGAUCAUAGUGGUAUUGAGUUAUUGAAGCAUGAUUUGGCUCAUCGAUUUGCAAUGAAGGACUUGGGCUUGCUGCGUUAUUUUCUGGGUAUUGAGGUGGCUCAGUCUAAGAAAGGGUAUCUUCUUUCUCAGACUAAGUAUAUAUCUGACUUGUUUACACGGGCGCGUCUUUCUGACAACAGGACUGUAGAUACUCCCCUUGAAACCAAUGCACGUUACUCUCCUAGUGAUGGUGUUCCAUUAUCAGAUCCGAGUCUUUAUCGGACUAUUGUGGGUAGUUUGGUUUAUCUUACGGUUACUCGUCCAGAUAUAGCACAUGCAGUUCAUGUUGUUAGCCAGUUUGUUACUGCUCCUACUUCUGUGCACUGGGGAGCUGUACUUCGUAUUCUAAGGUAUCUUCGUGGCACUCAGUUUCAGAAUCUCUUGUUUCCCUCGACGUCAUCUCUCGAGUUGCGAGCCUAUAGUGAUGCUGAUUGGGAUGGAGAUCGCAAUGAUCGUAAAUCCACCACUGGUUUUUGUGUGUUUCUUGGAGACUCUUUAAUCUCGUGGAAGAGCAAGAAACAAGAUGUUGUCUCUAGAUCUUCCACGGAGGCUGAGUAUCGUGCUAUGGCUGUGACUACAUGUGAGAUUAUUUGGUUACGUUGGCUUCUUGCAGAUAUGGGGGUUCACAUUUCUAUGCCUACUCCCCUGCAUUGUGAUAACAAAAGUGCGGUACAAAUUGCAAAGAAUUCUGUCUUCCAUGAGCGUACGAAGCACAUUGAGAUUGAUUGUCACUUCACCCGUCAUCAUUUACAGCUCGGGACCAUAUCGCUUCCUUUUGUUCCAUCGUCUUUGCAGAUUGCUGACCUUUUUACGAAGGCUCAGUCGGCGUCUCGAUUUCGUUUUUUGUGUGACAAACUCUCAAUGCUUAUUGCUGUUGCAUUGUGAGUUUGAGGGGGGAUGUUAGCCCAUAUGUUAUUGGGCCUUUAGUUUAUGGACCUUUAGGUUAUUGGCUAUGUAUAUAUAGCCUACUUUUGUUUAGUUAGUUUCAGGCUUUUCAGAUUAUAUUGUAAACCUUAGCCUUUCUUCCCUUCAAUAAAGUUCUAUUAACACCUAUAUAGUCCGGUAAUUUGUUCUUUCGUAUAUCCAAAUUCAAUAUUCCAUUUAUGUAUCCAUGGAAUAGAGAAUUCAAUGAAGAAAUACAUCUGAUCGAUCUUAUCUAAAUUACAUACAUGAUCAGAAUGAUAUAAUUCUGUCAGGAAAGGUGAAACUUUAAUCCAUUCUUUAUAUAUGAGGGGGGAUGUUAGCCCAUAUGUUAUUGGGCCUUUAGUUUAUGGACCUUUAGGUUAUUGGCUAUGUAUAUAUAGCCUACUCUUGUUUUAGUUAGUUUCAAGCUUUUCAGAUUAUAUUGUAAACCUUAGCCUUUCUUCCCUUCAAUAAAGUUCUAUUAACAGUUGCAACUGUAUUUUCACCUGAAUAGUAGUAUGCGUUAAAGUGUUGUUGUCAUGACCUAUUGGUAGUGAUAUUGGACCAAGAAGUUGGGGAUGUGAAGUCACAAAGUUAGAAGUCAGAGUGAGGAUGACUUUUGUGUAAAUGAAUAUUUUAGUUGAAUAACCGAUGUUCGAGAAUGAUUUACCCCCUUUAUGGUGAUAGACUAAUGUGGUAGCUAGUAGCAUGUGUGGAUUGUAUGGUAGUCUGUGGGGGAAGUGUUUGACUCAGAUUUUUAUUUAUACAGAGUAAGAUGUGUAUCCUUAGAUCAUUGAAUAUUGUGUGUCAAUUUUCUAUCUCUUGUAAUAUGUAAUCUUAUUAUCAUGGUGUUUUUGAAAAAAAUCAAAGUCUAGUGAAGCCGUGUGGGGCUCUUUUGAUUCACUAGCAUAGUUUUUUUGUUAUGCAUUUCAUUUCUUGUUCAAAACACAAAAAUCAAAGUCUAGUGAAGCCGUGUGAGGCCUAUUUCUAUUCACUAGCAGCUUGCUAUCCAACUUGUUGUUCUUGUGUUGGUUUAAUAUAUGUAUAGCUGAAUCUGUUUGCAUGAAAUUGAGUAAGUAAUUAGGAGGUGAGAGAUCAGUAUAAGUAGAUAAGAUUAUAUGGGAUUAUAAUAUCAGAUUAAGGUUAACCAUGCCUAUUAUGUGAAUUUACCCCCCCUUGACCUUCUUUUGUUGGUAGUUGUAAACUAGUACUACUUGUGAGAAGAUAUGUAGUAGAUAUGUGAGGUAUUUGGAUAGAAUGUUCAGAUUUGAUGGACUAGUAUUAUGUUGCCUUCUUCAUUGAUGGUAGAUGAUUGAUGCUAGACUAUUGGCUUGAAUUUAAUGUAGAAUGUGGAUGUCGGAAUAGUGAAAUGAGAUUGAUAGUGUUGGGCUCUUUUAUAUGAUCUUGAUUCUCAUAGUAAUGAGAUAUAAGUUCGGAGUCGCGAUAUUGGUAGGCUAUGAUGAAAGUGGUAUGGUUCAUCAAAGGCUCGGUGAUAUCCAUGUUAAGUGUUAGAAAUCUAAGUUUGAGCUUUAAAGGUUGAACCGAUAGAAAUAAGUGUGCAAGCAUCAUACUAUGACUAUUGGGGCUAUCGAAAUAUAGAGUGUAUCUCAGAAGGUAGUAUUAGCAGUGGGAUUUCCACUUUCAUGUGUGGUCUUUCGGGUUAAAUUUCUAUUUAAUUAUGUGUAUUGUUGUAUUCCAUACCCCAGAGUGUGGUGAGUGUAGUUCGGCUUAGAGUCUAGUAUAAGGGAUCUCUUGAACUUAAUAUGAUGGCUUAAAGCCAAGGGGGAGAUGAUANNNNNNNNNNNNNNNNNNNNNNNNNNNNNNNNNNNNNNNNNNNNNNNNNNNNNNNNNNNNNNNNNNNNNNNNNNNNNNNNNNNNNNNNNNNNNNNNNNNNNNNNNNNNNNNNNNNNNNNNNNNNNNNNNNNNNNNNNNNNNNNNNNNNNNNNNNNNNNNNNNNNNNNNNNNNNNNNNNNNNNNNNNNNNNNNNNNNNNNNNNNNNNNNNNNNNNNNNNNNNNNNNNNNNNNNNNNNNNNNNNNNNNNNNNNNNNNNNNNNNNNNNNNNNNNNNNNNNNNNNNNNNNNNNNNNNNNNNNNNNNNNNNNNNNNNNNNNNNNNNNNNNNNNNNNNNNNNNNNNNNNNNNNNNNNNNNNNNNNNNNNNNNNNNNNNNNNNNNNNNNNNNNNNNNNNNNNNNNNNNNNNNNNNNNNNNNNNNNNNNNNNNNNNNNNNNNNNNNNNNNNNNNNNNNNNNNNNNNNNNNNNNNNNNNNNNNNNNNNNNNNNNNNNNNNNNNNNNNNNNNNNNNNNNNNNNNNNNNNNNNNNNNNNNNNNNNNNNNNNNNNNNNNNNNNNNNNNNNNNNNNNNNNNNNNNNNNNNNNNNNNNNNNNNNNNNNNNNNNNNNNNNNNNNNNNNNNNNNNNNNNNNNNNNNNNNNNNNNNNNNNNNNNNNNNNNNNNNNNNNNNNNNNNNNNNNNNNNNNNNNNNNNNNNNNNNNNNNNNNNNNNNNNNNNNNNNNNNNNNNNNNNNNNNNNNNNNNNNNNNNNNNNNNNNNNNNNNNNNNNNNNNNNNNNNNNNNNNNNNNNNNNNNNNNNNNNNNNNNNNNNNNNNNNNNNNNNNNNNNNNNNNNNNNNNNNNNNNNNNNNNNNNNNNNNNNNNNNNNNNNNNNNNNNNNNNNNNNNNNNNNNNNNNNNNNNNNNNNNNNNNNNNNNNNNNNNNNNNNNNNNNNNNNNNNNNNNNNNNNNNNNNNNNNNNNNNNNNNNNCUAAGCUUGAAAGUAAGAAGUUGUAUUGCCAAAGGUCUGGUAAUUCUAUCCUAAUUUAGGAGUUAUAUGUCUAUAUUCCAGACUGUAGAGUAGUGUCAAUGUUGUGAUUUCCUCAGUGGGAUGUCUUGUGUAAUCCAUACCCAAGAUUUGUGGCUCCCUAUUACUGUUAGAACUUCUUUAGAGAGAGCGUUGAAGAGAUACUCCAGUUAAGUAUGAGGGUCAAGCAUAAUUCAGUCUGUAUAGCCAGUAAGUCAGUUUAGCAGUCAGAUUUGCAUGACUUGUUUUCUCGUCUUUUCAUUUAUUCAUGCUACCCGAAAUCUCAGACAUGAUAUUAUUCCAAGAUAGAGUAUACUAGUAAUUGCGAGUAUAGCUCAGUUCAUGCUUCAUGCAUUAGAUUCAAAAUCCAAAGGUUCAGUUAUGAAUCAAAUCGUAGGUGCCUUGUGCAUUGCCUCCAUUUUCCGAGUAUCUUAGUGAAUUGAGAACUCAUAGAGGGAUAUAGGGUCCCAAGGGGGAGAUACCCCAUUCGGUUGCAUGCAUAGGUUCUUAUUACAAGCUUCGCAUCAGUUGUUAUUGCGUAUUCAGUCAUACGUUCUUGUGUCAGUUCAGUCAGAUAUGCCUGCAUUAGAAAUGCAUGUUCAAUAGAAAAAGUUCAGCUUAUCAGUGUAUUCAGUCCUGCGUUAAUGAGGAAAACUCAGACACAGACCCAUGCAUCAGAUAUGCAUGUUCGGUAUAAGAAUUCAGAACAUCAGUAGUUCCAGUCUUAUAGUCAUGUUUCAGAUCAGUGUAUUCUUUAUUAAAGGACAUGUCAUGUCGGCGUUAUUCCAUAGCUUUAAGGCUUCAACAAGUUCCUAUCCAUCAUUCGAGGAUGAAUGAUCCCAAGGGGGAGAUAAUGUAACGCCCCGUAAAAGGCAUGCAUAUAUUAGUCUUUAAUAUUGAGCUCUUAGACUUAAUGACUUAAAAUUUUCUAAGUGUAAAAUGAGACUUAGUCAUUUUAGCUGGCAAUCUUUGGGAUACAACUUUUCAACAUUCCUGACAUCCGUUUUUAGAUUUUCAAGUUGUGUUACGAUCGGUAAAGAUCAUAGUGCAUCUCGGAUAAGUUUUGUAAUUUUUUGGAAUGCAUAAGGCUGCGUUUGGAUUUUAAAAUAGUAGCAAAACGCAUAGCCUAUUGCCCAGUUUUCAGCAUUUCAGGGUCAACUUCAAACAAUCAUAACUCCCUGUAUAAUGAACUGUGUGAGCUAUAAUAUAUCAAACGAAAGAUCUUUGAUUCCUAUUUCAAAUGCAGUUGGUUUCAUCCAAACUUAUUAUAUGAGUAAAACGUUAUAAUCGAUUUACUCCGGACUGUCAAACCGUCAACUGAGGGACAGAUUUGACCUUAAUUGUUCCUUAGGGGUAUUUUGGUCAUCCUUCACCCUUAUAUAUACCACCAACAUGGGAUUUAAUCCCUCAAACACCAAAAUACACCUUCAUUCAUCAAAAUUGCUCAAGAACACUCCUUAGGGUUUCAAACUAAAAACCCAAAUAGUUCAAGAUUUGACCGUAGGUUUUCGAAGAUAAUUACANNNNNNNNNNNNNNNNNNNNNNNNNNNNNNNNNNNNNNNNNNNNNNNNNNNNNNNNNNNNNNNNNNNNNNNNNNNNNNNNNNNNNNNNNNNNNNNNNNNNNNNNNNNNNNNNNNNNNNNNNNNNNNNNNNNNNNNNNNNNNNNNNNNNNNNNNNNNNNNNNNNNNNNNNNNNNNNNNNNNNNNNNNNNNNNNNNNNNNNNNNNNNNNNNNNNNNNNNNNNNNNNNNNNNNNNNNNNNNNNNNNNNNNNNNNNNNNNNNNNNNNNNNNNNNNNNNNNNNNNNNNNNNNNNNNNNNNNNNNNNNNNNNNNNNNNNNNNNNNNNNNNNNNNNNNNNNNNNNNNNNNNNNNNNNNNNNNNNNNNNNNNNNNNNNNNNNNNNNNNNNNNNNNNNNNNNNNNNNNNNNNNNNNNNNNNNNNNNNNNNNNNNNNNNNNNNNNNNNNNNNNNNNNNNNNNNNNNNNNNNNNNNNNNNNNNNNNNNNNNNNNNNNNNNNNNNNNNNNNNNNNNNNNNNNNNNNNNNNNNNNNNNNNNNNNNNNNNNNNNNNNNNNNNNNNNNNNNNNNNNNNNNNNNNNNNNNNNNNNNNNNNNNNNNNNNNNNNNNNNNNNNNNNNNNNNNNNNNNNNNNNNNNNNNNNNNNNNNNNNNNNNNNNNNNNNNNNNNNNNNNNNNNNNNNNNNNNNNNNNNNNNNNNNNNNNNNNNNNNNNNNNNNNNNNNNNNNNNNNNNNNNNNNNNNNNNNNNNNNNUGGGUCGAGACACCAUGCUUUGUGGUCUUAUGUGUCUCUCCCUCACUUAUACUCUAAUCUCGGCAGCAACCGAGGUUUGGAAGUUAGUGUAAAUUAUGUAGGGUAUUCCACCUAACUCAGUUGCAUUUCAUUGUUGUUGAGAAACUAUUGUAUUAUACUCAUGUGUUUUCAAAUGAUUUAAUAUGAAAUUGUUUUAUAAUGGCUCUCAACUAUAUUUUGUAAAAAUAUUAUGUUUUGUUUUGAUAUCUCUAUGUGCCAGUACUUUUGUGCUGACCCCAUCCCCUGUCCAACCUCUCAAGUUCAGAGGCCCAAUCUAGGGGUCAAGAGAAUCAGUAGAUCAUUCAGACAGAGUUGCAGAGACAAGUGGUGAGCCUUCUAUGUUUCGGAAGGUCUUAUGUCCUGCAGUCCUGUUAUCUUAUAUUUAGUUUUGGGGUCUACUGGAGCCUUGUCCCAGUUUAUACACAGCUACUUGACUCAUUCAUUUGUUAGAGAUUUUCGUAGACAGUUGUUUAGAGGUUGAUUGAUGUUGGGGGAACUUUAUUUCCCCGUUAUUGUUUCUUUUCAUAUUUAUGACCAUGUUUUCGAAUUAUUGUGUUUCUUGUGCAUUACUUUGAUCAUAUGAAUUAGGUGCAUGAUUACCAGACAGAUAGAGGUGUUUCGGGCCUCCAUGGUUCAAAAUGCUCGUCACGUCCAGGCCCUGGUUCGGGUCAUGAUAGCAAGGGUUGGAGUUCGUGAAUCUGAUAUGCCACACGACACUUAAGUCAGCGUCUAAUGAUAUACCCGGGUCAGCAAACCAUGGUUUUAGGAAAUGAGUUGCUUGAACUCAAGCCUUCUUCAGGGAACCACCUAACAUCUCUGUAUGCCCAUUUUUAACCUUUUUUGUAAUGCAACAGUCUGUCUAAAAUCAUGAUAGUCUGAAAUGUCUAUUAGUCUGAGUCUGAUAUGACAUUGGUCUGAAUUGGUAUCGUCAUACCAAGACUUGCAAGUCAUGAUUUCUGAGCCAUAAUACAUUAAGCUAAAUCUUUCAUUUAAAGCAUAAUUUAGACCACCAAAAACAUGCAACUGAUAUAGAAGAUUUNNNNNNNNNNNNNNNNNNNNNNNNNNNNNNNNNNNNNNNNNNNNNNNNNNNNNNNNNNNNNNNNNNNNNNNNNNNNNNNNNNNNNNNNNNNNNNNNNNNNNNNNNNNNNNNNNNNNNNNNNNNNNNNNNNNNNNNNNNNNNNNNNNNNNNNNNNNNNNNNNNNNNNNNNNNNNNNNNNNNNNNNNNNNNNNNNNNNNNNNNNNNNNNNNNNNNNNNNNNNNNNNNNNNNNNNNNNNNNNNNNNNNNNNNNNNNNNNNNNNNNNNNNNNNNNNNNNNNNNNNNNNNNNNNNNNNNNNNNNNNNNNNNNNNNNNNNNNNNNNNNNNNNNNNNNNNNNNNNNNNNNNNNNNNNNNNNNNNNNNNNNNNNNNNNNNNNNNNNNNNNNNNNNNNNNNNNNNNNNNNNNNNNNNNNNNNNNNNNNNNNNNNNNNNNNNNNNNNNNNNNNNNNNNNNNNNNNNNNNNNNNNNNNNNNNNNNNNNNNNNGACUGAAUUUCGUGUUUAUGGCUGAAUAAGGGUGAGAAAAGAACCAUUUUGCCCAAAAAACGGAGUGUUUAAGUCACUUAAAACAUAAGAUAUGCGCCGUAUAUGAUAUCGUAUAUAUUUACAUAGGCGCCGCAUAUGAUAUCGCCUAUAUUUACAUAGGCGCCGCAUAUGAUAUCGUCUAUAUUUACAUAGGCGCCGCAUAUGCUUUCCAGUGGCCAUGUGUGAUUGGUUAGGCGACGCAUACUACUUUGAAAGGCCAUAACUUCUUGCUCGGGUGUCGGAUUUUAGCAAAAUUGGUAUCGUUGGAAAGUUAACUCGAAGACCUAUCAUUUGACACACAGUAGGCUCUCUAAUUCGACAUAUAUAGAGAGUUAUGGUCAAUGGAAACUGACUCAAAUUACAACGUCCACUAAAACUUAAUCGAUCGAAAUAGUUUUGAAAUCAUCCUUGAGUUGAAGGACCUCUAUGGUCUAAAUUCAUGCUCAAAUGGAUUCACAUACUACAUAAACAUGCCAAAUUGCCAUAGGAUUUAAGGCUCUGGGAUUAUCAACGCAUCAAAGUCAUGGUUUUUAUUCUAGCCCGAAAUGCGGGGUGUUGCACAACUUCACAGGGGUCCUGAACUCAAUUUAAGUGUAUUUUUGUCACCCUUUUGUGCUGACGUAACACCUUUAUUACAUAAAAUUGGGGUCAAUUCAAAGCUGUCAUAUCAGAUAAAAAGGUUGAUAAAAGGUGUCACGUCAGCUAAAAAGAUUGACAAAAAUACGCUAAAAUUUAGUUCAAGGGGUAAUAGAACACCUAUGAAGUUAGAGUGUGUCGUAGCAAAUUCGGUCAUAGUUCAUGAAACCUAUAUUUUGUAAGGCUAUACGUUUUUAGCAUAAACAUAUCUACCAUUGUUUUCUAUGAAGUAGAAAACCUUAUACUCCUAGUCAAGAGUUUAUGUUAUGUCGAAAAUAAUUUUUACGCUAUCAAGUUAUAUUGACAUGCACUAACAGUUAAUUGUCCUCGUCAACAACAAUAUAUUAAAUUUACGACAGCAAUGUUAGAACAUACAUGGGUGGAUUCACAACGUUGGUUUUAUGGAUUCACCAUUUGAAUCUAAUGGAUAAAUAUUUUGACUUGAGAACCCAUUAAUUUAAGUUAUGUACAAAGGAAUUUACUACCGGAAACCAAACACUGUAUCAGUUAUGCAGAGAUUAUAUAAUCAUUAACAGAUAAAAGGCAUGUAAAUUGCGAGCACAGUAUUCUCAACAUGAACAUGUAUAUAUGUGUGAGUCUCUUUGUGUUGCUGAUAAAGAUGGACUAUAUGUGUUAUUCUCAACGGAAGCUUUAUGCACCGAGCUGCCUUUUUCCUUGUGUGUGUGUGUUAUAUAGAGAGCGAGAGGAAGAGAGAAAAUCCACUAACUAUCAACAAAUAUAAUAUUUUAAAUCCAUAAUUUCUAAAGUACAAUAAGUACAGCUUCAAGAAUUUCGAAGGUUGAAUCUUUCAAGUUUAAGUCCUGCAGAUGACUGUCUAUAUCUGUGUCUGGAACUUCGGAUAGCAUGUAUCCUGGAAAUUUCAUUGCAUCUUUUAAGGCAUAUUUCUUAUCACAUUUAGUUGGUUUAUCGUAGUAUUCUGUUGUAGUUAUUGUUCCUUUAAUUUGGUGCACCGGGCUGCUUUGAAUUGUUUUUCCUUGCGCUGAAGGUCUUAUCAAAAUUCGGAAAUUCUCCCCAAACUCCACUUGCUGUUGCUGUACCAUGAAUUAUUUAGUGAAGAUACAUUGGGUCUAUAGCAUUGUCGGUGCCGAAAAAAUGAUCUUACAUAAAUUGUUAUAUCAUGUGAUAAAGGAUGUAUUGGUAAAAUAACAUGUAAUUCUUCGGUCAUUCAAGGUAUUCGGUAAAAACUGAAAUAAGUAGUUGAAUUAUACAUUUGGAAGAAAUAUCAAAUUCUUCUUAAACUCAUCAUCAUAUAUAUUUGGAGCAAUAAGUACAAGUAGUAGCUCGCAUUCAUGCCUCCCUACUCGCUUAUAUUCUUCAUCUUACUCUCAUCAUAUUUUUCUCCAAGUAUAAAUAAAAGCCAAGAAGUACAAUAAAAUAGAGAGGCAACCUAUGAAACAGACAGUAACGGCAAGACCAAGUGAAUGUGAUAAAGUAGCAAACAUACCAGUUGCGAAUGCAAUUACAACUGCUAACAUUGACAAGCACAGGCAAACAACUGAGAGAUGAUAAAGCUUCUCUAAAGUUUUCGUACCUUCAGGAUCUAUACUUACAUCUGCCAUGAGGAAGUAGAUGAAUAUGGCAACAGCUGAGCAUGUGAAGGCAAUGGCAUCGGAAACAACAAAUGCACGAAAUGCUGUUUUCCUUGUUAGAAUCGCCAUCCCUUGAUUAUGGCUAUCGGAGUCACUCACAAAACCUCCUGGCAAUGUGAUGCCAGCGGCGAAAGUGACUGUCAUUAAUAAAGUCGCCACGACAAUAUGGAAUUGAGCUGACUUCAUAAUACUUUUGAUUACUGUUUGAUAUGCCUUUUUAGCUUUAUCGUGAUCAUCUUCCCUCAGUUGCAUUUUGCCUACUGUUCCCGUUUCAGCAUUUGGAUUGGGCAUGUACUCUUCCUUCCGCUUUACCUCAAAGUCACGUUUUCCAAAUCGGCCAAUGCUACACAAUUCCUCCAUCAAUUUCUCCUAUUUUCAUCAAUAGGACAGUUUAUAGUGAGUCGGUCGAAAAAUUUAACUGAGAACUAAUCUGUUCAUAGCUUAGGAGGCAAUGAUAUCAUCUAAAAUAAAUUACAGUUUUACUUGACCACAUCAAGAAUGGUCAGAAAGAUAAGUUGGAUCUAUAAAAGCAUUGUUAUUAAAAGUUAAAAGAGUAUUCCAUAGCAAUGCAACCAGUAUUUGAAAAACAAAUGUGUGACUGACUGCUUACCUUCUUUGUCGCUGCUUUGCAUGACAAUGCUAUAUCAAGUGGAGUCUGGUUUUGUUUGUUAAAUGGCAUCUUCUUUGCUCUAGGAUGGUUUAAUAAUUCAGGCACAUAGUUACCAGAGGCAGCAAGCAAAUGGAGAGGAGUGUUGCCGUCACUAUCUGGCUCAUCAACAAGGCUGUCGCACUUAUCAGAGUCUAAUAAGAAGUGGACUACCUCGUGUUGAUUGUUCAGUACGGCAACAUGAAGAGCAUUUUGAUUGUUUCUGUUAAGCAUAUCCCAAAAAUCAGGGCAGUGAUUUAAUAGCUCAAUGAUCAUGUCUACAUCACCUUCACUGGCUGCAAUGUGAAUUGCUGUCGUCCAGUCAUUUUCAUUGCCUGCCGGAAGGUACACUAAGGAUUUUUUCCACGCCAGCAUAUCAGAUACUACGUCCGCCAAUCCUAAUUUAACAGCAUAGUGCAGUGAAUUCCAACCCCAUAAGUCAGGUUCCUCGCAUAAAGGCUUAUUCCAACGCCAGAGUGAUCUAAUGCAAUCUGGAUGUGUCAACACGAUAAAUGCGUAAUAAGGGGUUAGAUCAUCUCGCAAAUAUAGUUGCACAACAGACAUUACGAAAUCAUCAACAGAAAUCACAGAUAAAUGUUUUUUAGAGCGGUCGCAUAACAAGUGAUCGGAAUGCUACAUAAGUUGAUUAUAAGUUGAUGCGGCUAAUGGAGGAUCCUAUUGAAACUAUCGACAUGAUUAAUACGAAUUUACGCAGACGAUGUUAAUUAUGGGAAAUUUGAAUUGAGACGAUGCACGAUACUGCAAAUUACAAAAGGUUUGUACCUUUAUGUUCCUGAAUUACUGCUGCAUGCAGCGGCGUUCUAUUAGAUGGACCUGCAGCAUAAGUUGAUUUCUUGCAGUACUCCAAGAUAUUAAUCAAAGCAUCAUGAAAACCAGAUUCAGCCGCCAGAUACAGUGGCGUCUCCUGUGCAUGGUUAGGCGGAAAUUCAAAUUCAGGAUCUUCUUUCACCAAGAGCUUAACUACAUCUAGAUGUUGGCUCCUCACGGACUUGUGCAGGGCUGUAUCUCCGCUAGCAUCCGUCAUCCUCGUGAGUUUCUCCUUAGUAUUAUGAUCUUCGACACAUGCAAGUAGCAUACGUACUACUUCAGUGUGCCCUUCAUUAGCUGCUAGGUGAAGAGCUGUUUCAUUUUUCUUGUUUUGACAGCAUAACAUUGCCGGAGUAAUCUUAAGGACUUCUUCCGCGAAAUGGGAGUGGCCAUAGAGGGCUGCGACAUGGAGGACCGUGUUUCCCUUUGGAGUGACUUGGUAGCCGUUUUCUUCAUCCCUUUUCAGAUGAUCAGCAAGUAGAAAAUUGGCAUCUCCGAUAUUGCCUUUCAUCACAGCAUUAUACAAGGUCGGAUCCAUUCCUUUUGAUUUGGUGUUUUAUCCAAAAUCUCCCAAUGAUAAUCCUGUGAGUCCUUUGCUUUCUCUGAUGAAACAUUAUUAUAUAUAUUCUUAAUGAAUCUCAAAGAAGAAAGGGAUCUGGUGCUUGCCUUGAUCACAAGAAAGGGAUUUUGAUGUUUUCGUAUUUUCGCUUUCAUUAUGGUUCUUUUCUCCUAAAAACAAACAAGUAGAGUAGUCACCGGAACAAAGAAAAUCUUGUAGCAACUCAAAUAAGCUAAAGAUGAAACUUACCAAAACAAUAAUGGCGCUCGUUAGCUCCAAUUGCCCCAUGAGACUGGCGAACGUUGCUCCUUUUCCCUUUACUCAACAUAUGCUCUUCGCGGAUCUACAACAUCCAAACUGAAAACCAGCACAUUCGCGAUAAAUUGAAUUUGAAUUCAUAAAUUGUAACGCCCCAUAAAAGGCGUGCAUAGAUAAGUCUUUAAUAUUGAGCUCUUAGACUUAAUGACUUAAAAUUUUCUAAGUGUAAAAUGAGACUUAGUCAUUUUAGCUAGCAAUCUUCGGGAUACAACUUUUCAACCUUUCCGACAUCCGUUUUUAGAUUUUCAAGUUGCGUUACGAUCGGGAAAGCUCAUAGUUCAUCUCGGAUAAGUUUCGGAAUUUUUCGGAACGCAUAAGGCUGCGUUUGGAUUUCAAAACAGUAGUAAAACACAUAGCCUAUUGCGCAGUUUUCAGCAUUUCAGGGUCAACUUCAAACAAUUAUAAAUCCCUGUAUAUAAUGAACUGUGUGAACUAUAAUAUAUCAAACCAAAUAUCUUUGAGUCCUCUUUCAAAUGCAGUGGGUUUCAUCCAAUUUGAUUAUAUGAGUAAGAAGUUAUAAUCGAUUUACUCCAGACUAUCAAACUAUCAAUUGAGGGACAGAUUUGACCUUAAUUGUUCCUUAGGGGUAUUUUGGUCAUCCUUCACCCCUAUAUAUACCACCAUCCCGGGAUUUAAUCCCUCAAACACCAAAAUACACCUUCAUUCAUCAAAAUUGCUCAAGAACACUCCUUAGGGUUUCAAAAUAAAAACCCAAAUAGUUCAAGAUUCAACCGUAGGUUUUCGAAGAUAAUUACAUAUUCGGAAUCACAAAUCCGCGAGCUUCAAGAAACAUCUAGUAUUUUCGGAAAUAGAGGUACGUGGGGUUAUCCUAAAAUCUCAUAGGUGUAGUUUUUAUGAACAUGCAUGCUUUUAAAUGGGGGUUUUCAAUCAAAUGCUAAUAACUUGCUUUCAAUAUGAUUUCUAAGUCAUUUUUCUUUAUGUCAUGNNNNNNNNNNNNNNNNNNNNNNNNNNNNNNNNNNNNNNNNNNNNNNNNNNNNNNNNNNNNNNNNNNNNNNNNNNNNNNNNNNNNNNNNNNNNNNNNNNNNNNNNNNNNNNNNNNNNCAUGAUAAUGCCUAGAUAUCUCAUAUCAUAUUGUGACCAACAAAAGAGAGCAUGAAUUUGAAAUAAUUAUUGUUCACCACUUGUAAAUGAUGAAGCACCUUGGUUUUUACAUGAUUAUGCAUAUGUGGAUAUGAUAUUGAUGACUUGCAAGUUGGGUAUGACAAUACCCUACAGAAUAUGAUACGUGUUUGAAUUAAAUGAAGUUUGAAUGCAUUGAUUUUACAUGAGAUAGGUGGAUGUCCGAAGAAGGCGUUUGAGUGUAAGGGCUCAUCGCUGGAAACCGUGUUUGCCGACACGGGAAUUUGGUACCAGGCUAAGUGAUCUUGUGUACUUGACUUUAUGUCAUUCCCAAAUUGGGACUAUAGGUAGGAGCCCGGGCUAAGUGAUCUUGGGCACUAACAUUGGGUCGAGACACCCUGCUUCGUGGUCUUGUGUGUCUCUCCCCUCUCCAACCUCUCAGGUUCAGAGGCCCAGUCUAGGGGUCAAGAGAAUCAGUAGAUCAUUCAGACAGAGUUGCAGAGACAAGUGGUGAGCCUUCUAUGUUUUAGAAGGUCUUAUGUCCUGCAGUCCUUUUAUCUUAUAUUUAGUUUUGGGGUCUACUGGGGGCCUUGUCCCAGUUUAUAUAUAAUUACUUGACUCAGUCAUUUGUUAGAGAUUUUCGCAAAAAGUUGUUUAGAGGUUGAUAGAUGUUGGGGAAACUUUAUUUCCCCAUUAUUGUUUCUUUUCAUAUUUAUGACCAUGUUUCUGAAUUAUUGUGUUUCUUCCGCAUUACUUUGAUCAUAUGAAUUAGGUGCAUGAUUACCAGACAGAUAGGGGUGUUGCGGGCCUCCAUGGUUUGUAAUGCUCGUCACGGCCAGGCCUGGUUCGGGUCGUGGCAUAAAUAGUGAAGAAGGGUCAAUAGAAGGAUACCAAGAAAAAUGCUCCGAAAAAGGUCUUUUACCAUUGUUGCAUAAACACAACAUAUUCCUCUAUAGAAGGCCCUAUGGAGUAAAGGGAAGUGCAUGAAUUCUUGGAAAAAGAGGGAGCGAGCCUAUAUAAAAUAGAAAAUUUCAUGAAUAGAUAGAGUCAACGGUACAACAGACAGCGCCGCCUAUGUGAAAUCUUUGCGGAGGGGUUCGUAUUAGCUAUACUGGCACUUAAACAACCCAUCCAAAACUGCAGGCAGUGAGUUUAGCAAGGAUAUUUUGAUGAGCGGUGUAAAGAAACAUAAUAGAAUUAAAGUUCCAAUCGUAUCGGAGAGGCAGUGGCAUAUUUGAUUUCAGAGAGGAAAUCUCCGAUCGCACAUCAUAUAGCUUACUCUAAAAUAAGGCAGCUUUAAUAAAUGAAAUUAAAACCAUGACCAUAUUAUACAAUAAGAGUUCAUAUUAAAUUUGAAACAAGAUGUUGAUGACAUAUCUAUCACUCAAGAACAUUAUACAAAAAGAUUGAAGAACUGCAAGCCAGUGAACAUGUCAAGGUUGUAACAUAGACGCGAGUCUCUGUGUAAGUUACGUAGGAAGUUUCAGAUCAUAAGGUCCAUUCUUUCACCAGAGCAACGUUACUUCUUACUAACACGCGAUAUUAUCUAUAGUAGCUUGCUUUCUCAUUCAUGGAACAUGGGAUUCUUUAGCUAAAGCAAUAGUACUUCUUAUUAACAUGUGAUAUUAUCUAUAGUAGCUUCUCUUGAAGCAUCUUUAUCAACCUCCAACGCCAAAUUGUAUGACUAACACAUAAGGCAGCUGAAACAUACUCGACUUUACGAGUUAAGAGAGGAACCAAAAAAAAAAAAAAAGAAAAAGAGAAAAACAUGAGAAUAUUAUCAUAGGUUGCUUCUUUUGUAAUUUCUCCAAAAGAAAAGAUUACAGUGUAAAGCAUCAUAGCUAUGCGUAGGUUCGGGGGAUGAGGGCCAGACCAUAGGGAUCUAUUGUACGUGGCCUUAUCCUGCAUUUUGACAAGAGUCUGCAUUAUAAAGCAUUGAAUUUGAAAUACGAAGAGAUUUUAGUAAAACUUGAUUUUGCUGCCAUGUGACCAGGAGGUCACCGGUUCAAGCCUUGGAAAAAGCCUUUGGCAGGAGUACAAGUUAAGGCUGCAUAAAAUACACCCUUUUGGUAGGGCCCUUCCCCGGACCUUACGCAUAGCGGGAGCUCUCGUGCACCGGGCUUAUAUAGUAAAAAAGUGUUUUUAUUGGAAAAAAGUGUCAUGACAAGAAGAUCUCAUAUAGUAAAAAGAUGUUUUGUUUGCUUCUGGUCAAAGCAAACAAUAAGUACCUUUCUUUUGAUCAAAGGCAAAGAUCUGUGUAGUGUUCAGAAUAAAGAAUUCACAAGAUUAAUUUAAUAUAGGAGAUUUUGGAUAAAUCCGCAAAGCAAAUAAAAGAAAAGAAAAUGGAUCCAACCUUGAACAAUGCCGCGGUGGAAGGUAAUAUCAGUAAUGGUGAUUUUGUACUUGCUGAAUAUCUGAAAAGGGAUGAAGAAAAUGUGUACCAAGUCACUCCACGGGCAACACAAUCUUACACAUGGCGGCACAUUAUGGCCGCUCCCAUUUCGCAUCAAAAGUCCUUAAGAUUACUCCGGCAUUGUUAUGCCAUCAGAACAAGAAGAAUGAGACUGCGCUUCACAUAGAAGCUAAUGAAGGUCGCAUCGAAGUAGUCCACUUGCUACUUAGUAUGGAGGAGCAUUAUAAGGAGACGCUAAUGACGAUGACAGAUGAGAAUGGAGAUACAGCCCUGCAAAAGUCCGUGCGAAGCUGACAUCAAGAUGUAGCCAGACUUUUGGUGAAAGAAGAUCCUGAAUUCGAAUUUCCAUCCAACAAGGCCCGGGAGACACCGCUGUAUCUGGAAACUGAGUCUGGUGUUCGUGAAGCUUUGAGUGAAAUCUUUAACUCAUGCAAGCAAUCAACUUCUUCUGCAGGUCCAUUAAAUCGAACACCUCUGCAUGCAGCAGUAAUUCAGGAACACACGGGUAUGUACAUAUUUUCUUGCCGUUACUCUUCACUGUAUCAACAUCUCUUUUUGAUUUUUGUUACUAUAUGUUGUUUCUUGUACUUCGACUAUUGUAUUAUUUUGUGGCAGUACUGUUUUGUUUUGGACUGUUUUCUCUUGAGCUGAGAGUCUACCGGUAAUAGCCUCUCUGCCUCUGAGGUAGUGGUAAGGUCGACGUACACUCUACCCAUCCCCAGACCAACUUAGAGACUACACUGGGGAGUCUAAAUUUGUGUUGAUUUAACUCCUUAUUAUCAUCAUAUUUGACACAUACAUCCAGAUUGCGCGAGAUUGCUAACGCAAUGGAAUAGAUCCAGAUUGCGCGAGAUUGUGUGAAGAACCUGACGUGGGGGGUUGGAAUUCGCUGCACUUUACUGCUCUUUUAGGAUUGAAAGAAGUAGUUUCCGAUAUGCUGGGUGGAAAAAAUCCUUAGCGUACCUUCCAGCAGCCAGUAUAUAGAACAUACCAACGUUGUGAAUCUAUAAAAACUAUUAGAACAUACAUGGGCAGAUUCACAACGUUGGUUUUAUAGAUUCAGCAUCUGAAUCUAAUAGUUUUUGCCAGAUCCUGUCUGUAUAUAAAUAUUUUGACUUGAGAAUCCAUAAAUUUUAAGUUAUGUACAAGGGAAUUUACUACCGGUAACCAAACACUGUAUCAGUUAUGCAGAAAUCAUUAACAGAUAAAAGGCAUGUAAAUUGUGAACAUAAUAUCCUCGACCUGAAUAUGUUAAUAUGUGUGAGUCUCUGUGUGUGUUGCUGAUAAAGUUGGAGUAACUGGUAAAGUUGUUGUCACAUGACCAGAAGGUCAUGGGUUCAAGGUAAAACUGCGUACAAUACACCUUUGUGGUGGGGCCCUUCCCCAGACCCUGCGCAUAGCGGAAGCUUUAAUACAACGGGCUACCUUUUUGUGUGUGUCUGUGUGUGUGUGUUAGAUAGAGAGGGAGAGGAAGUGAGAAAAGUCGCUAAUUAUCAACAAAUAUAAUAUUUUGAAUCCAUAAGUUCUAAAGUACAAUAAGUACAGUUUUAAGAAUUUCUAAGGUUUAAUCUUUCAAGUUUAAGUCCUACAGAUGACGGUCGUUAUCUAUGUCUGAAACUUCAGAUAGCAUGUAUCCUUGAAAUGAAGUACAAGAUGCGGCAAGCGAGUUCGAGAUGGUCUAGGCAUGUAAAGAGUAGAGGAGCCGAUGCCCCAUGUGGAGGUGCGAGAGAUUGGCUAUGAAUGGUUUCAAGAGAGGUAGAGUAGAUCGAAGAAGUAUGGGAAGAACUGAUUAGCCAAGACUUGAUGUAGUUUCAGCUAACUGAGGACAUGACCUAAGAUGAAUCCGGUCGAGUUGUCUCUCUUUUCCUUCCAUACUAGUUAGUUGUAGUAUUAUUUGUAGUUUCUCUUCCUUCAAUUUCUAUAAUUAUCUAUUACUCUUUUGUGCUUCGAUUAUCAUAGUAUUCUGUUGUAGUUACAUAUUGCUUUGUCGUGAUCUCUGUGACCUUGGAGUAAUUGGUAAAGUUGUUGUCAUGUGACCAGGAGGUCACGGGUUCAAGCUUUUGAAACAGCAUCCGGCGUACAAUACACCCUUAUGGUGGGGCCCUUCCCCAAACCCUGCACAUAGCGGGAACUUUAGUUCACUAGGCUGCCUUUUUUUCUUGUCAUUCUCUCUAUAGUAUUUUUCCAUGGCUUCUCCACUUCUAACAUUUCUUUUCUUAACUGCUUUGAAUUGUUUUUCCUUGCACUGAAGGUCUAUAAAAUUUUGGAAACCUCUUUACCUCCCAAUGUAGGAGUAAGAUCUGCAUAUACUCGAUCCUCCCCAAAUUGCACUUGUGGAAUUUCAUUGGGUAUAUUGUUGUCAUUGUACCAUGAAUUAUUUAGUGAAGGUGCAUUGGUUCAAUAGCAUUGUCCGUGACGAAAAAUGAUCUCCAGCGACCGCUUAUAAUUUAAAUAGAAGAAAACGAUCUUACAUAGAUUGUUAUAUCAUGUGAUAAAGGAUGUAUAACUAAAAAAGCAAGUAAUGAACUAGAAAUAUGUUGUUCAAUUAUAUAUUUGCAAGCAAUAAGUACAAAUAGUAGCUAGCAUUCAUGUCUCUCUGACGAUUUCCUUGCUAUAUAAAUAACAACCAAGAGGUACAAUAAAAUAGAGAGGCAACUUAUGGAACAGACAGUAAUGGCAAAACCAAGUGAAUGUGAUAAAGUAGCAAACAUACCAGUUGAGAAUGCAAUUACAACUGCUAACAUUGACAAGCACUGACAAAUUGCUGCGUUAUCAUAAAGCUUCUGUAUAAUUUUUUCAUUUUCAGGUUUUGGAACUACACUUGCCAUGAUGAAGUAGAUGAAUAUGGAAACAGCCGAGAAUGUGAAGGCAAUGGCAUCGGAAACAACAAAUGCACGAAAUGUUGUUUUCCUUAUUAGAAUCGCCAUCCCUUUAUUAGGGCUAUCUGGGUCGCUCUCAAAACCUCCUGGCAAUGUGAUACCAGCGGCGAAAGUGAUCGUCAUUAUCAAAGUGGCCACGACAAUAUGGAAUUGAGCUGACUUCAUAAUAAUUUCUAUUACUGUUUGAUCUUCCUUUAUAGCUUUAUCGUGAUCAUUUUCCCUCAGUUGCAUUUUGACUCCUGUUCCCGUUUCAUCAUUUGGAUUGAGCAUGUACUCGUACUUCCGCUUUACCUCAAAGUCACGUUUUCCAAAUUGGCCAAUGCUACACAAAUCCUUCACCAAUUUCUCCUAUUUUCAUCAAUAGUACAGUUUAUUUUGAGUCUGUCUAACUGAGAACUAAUAUGUUCAUAGCUUAGGAGACAAUGAUAUCAUCUAAAAUAAAUUCUGGCGAAGGUAGAGCAAGAAAUAGAAUUAAAGUUUUACUUGAUGUUUCAACAGCACAUAUCGUUCACACAAAUCGUUCUUUCGCUUGACAUAAUCCUUGAACUAGUAUAUCAAUAUUUCACCAGCAUAUACUCAAGCGCAACCAGUAUUUCAAAAACAAAUGUGCGGCCGCUUACCUUCUUUGUUGUCGCUUUGCAUGACAAUGCUAUAUCAAGUGGAGUCUGGUUUUCUUUGUUAAAUGUCAUCUUCUUUGCUCUAGGAUGGUUUAUUAAUUCACGCACAUGGUUACCAGAGGCAACAAGCAAAUGGAGAGGAAUGUUGUCGUCGCAGCCUAAUAAGAACCGGACUACCUUGUCUUGAUUGUUCAGUAUGGCAACAGAAGAGCAUUUUGACUGUUGCUGUUAAGCGUAUCCCAACAAUCGGGGCAGUGAUUUAAUAGCUUCUCUAUCAUGUUUACGUCACCUUCACUUGCUGCAAUGUGAAUUGCUGUCAUCCAGUCAUAUUCACUGCCUGCCGGAAGGUACACUAAGGAUUUUUUCCACGCCAGCAUAUCAGAUACUACGCCCGCCAAUCCUAAUUUAACAGCAUAGUGCAGUGAAUUCCAACACCAUAAGUCAGGUUCCUCCCAUAAAGGCUUAUUCCAUCGCCAUAGUGAUCUAAUGCAAUCUGGAUAUGUCAACAUGAUAAAAUGCAUAAAUAAGGGGUUAGAUCUUCUCACAAAUAUAGUUUCACAACAGACAUUACGAAAUCAUCAACAGAAAUUGCAGAUAAAUGUUUUUUCUAGAGCGGUUGCAUAAGAAGUGAUCUGAAUGCUACAUAAGUUGAUUAUAAGUUGAUGAGACUAAUGGAGGAUCCUAGUAAGACUAUCGACAUGAUUAAUCCAAAUUUAUGUAGACGAUGUUAAAUAUUGGAAAGUCAACUUUAGUUAGAUAUCGAUACCUCAAAUAACAAAAAUUAUGUACCUCUUAACAAAUGACUGUGAUAUCGUCAUGAAAAUGCCGCCUCACACCUCUAUCUAUCCUUCUCAGAUCUGCGUAUA
Molecule: long non-coding RNA, 82248 nt
Filed under: Capsicum annuum
Lineage: Eukaryota; Viridiplantae; Streptophyta; Magnoliopsida; Solanales; Solanaceae
Description: long non-coding RNA (CANN_LNC009044)
Source: RNAcentral